This 53734-nucleotide long non-coding RNA is filed under the name Aquilegia coerulea. RNAcentral describes it as "long non-coding RNA (ACOE_LNC002079)". The record is from RNAcentral. Lineage: Eukaryota; Viridiplantae; Streptophyta; Magnoliopsida; Ranunculales; Ranunculaceae.
AAAAAAAUCCUCUCUCUCGAUUCGAUUCUCAAACAGAGAGAGACGAAGAUCUCGAUUGGAUUCUCUUUUCUCAUCGAUCUUUUCUUAAGAUCUUCUCUAAUGAUCUUUCGAUCUCUUCUUCAAAUCUUUGAUGAAAUCUUCCUUUUGAUCAACGCUACUCCGAUUCAAUCUGUUCUUCGAAUCUCAAGGCUACUCGGUUUCAAUCUCUUCUUGAAGUAACAGAGAAGAGAAGAAGAAAUCGGAGUUUUCAGCUUCACAAUUCUUUCAAUCGCUAUAAAGAAAUCUAAUCGCUUAAGGUAUUUAAUCAAUUUAAUUAUCUAUGUUUUAAAUUUCAAUUUGAUAAUCACUAUUGAUGUUUAUUGCUAUUGAUGUAAAUAUCUGUUGAUUGAAUUUCAUUGAUUGCAGUUUUUGAGGUUUAAUAAUUUAAGAAAAGUCAUGUUUUGGGUAUUGCAAAUAAAGUGUUUGUUGAAAUGUCAGAAUAGUCAUUAUGACAGAGUUCUAUAAUAGAUGAGUUUUUUCACUCUAAUAUGUCUAUAGAAUUAUUGCCCAGGGUCAGGAUUAUAUAAUACCAGUGAAUGGACUAUAAACAAGAAUAUGUGUGUGUGGUGGGGAGGGGGGGUACGAAUUGAAAUCUUGUCAAUUCGAUUUGUCCAUACAAGGCAAUCUCUUGUUUUGCAUUUCCUUUCUUUGCAAUAUGUUUUUCGUCAUCAUUUGCUUUCUUUCAAUUUCUUAUUUUUGUGGUAGCGCUCACACCAAACUUAUUUUAUUGUUACUUGUGGAUUUUGUAAGCAACUUUAGGCAACCCUACAAAAUCGAAUGCCUCCUUUUCUUUUUUUUUUCUUUACAAAUAUAAAUGUCUUUAUGCACGAUAUAGUUUGUUGAAGUGUCAGAAUAGUUAUUAUGACAGAGUUCUAUAAGGGUGUUAUUCUUCCCACCCAAACAAAUUGUCAAAAAACCCAAAUUUUAGAAAUAGUUAAAAGUUGUUAAAAAACCCAAUACUAAUUUACUAUUGUACCCCUAUUUUUGAAUAAACUUAAUAACAAAAUUUUGUCAAAAAACCCAACUUGUUUGGAGAAAAAGCCCACUGCAUGUUAUGAGAAAAAGCCCACUUACAUAAUUUAAUGAAAAGAAGUUUCUAAAUAUAGUUUUUAGGGUUUUGGUGGACAAGAUGAAUACAAAACAGAUUUUUCACUAUAAAGAACACACAACAUAAUAGUUUUCUUCUUCUAAACGGCUAAAUAAAUACUCGUCCAAAGAUCAUAUCAUACUUUUCAAUAUGAUAAUGGAUAUAGACCUCAAUAAAAUUCUUUUUUAGAUGAUUUUGAUAGACAAUUGCAAGUGGAAGAAUAUGGGGAGAAUGUUCCAAUAAUUAUGAUGGAGGAAGAUUAACAAAAUUAGCUUUUUGUAAAUUAGCUUUGGGUUUUUUGACAAAAUUUAACAAAUAAUUAAUUAUGUAAAUAAGGACAAUAGUGUAAAUUAGUAUUGGGUUUUCUGACAACUUUUAACUAUUUUUAAAAUUUGGGUUUUUUGACAACUUGUUUGGGUGGGAAGAAUAACACCCUUCUAUAAUAGAUGAGUUUUUUCACUCUAAUAUGUCUAUAGAAUUAUUGCCCAGGGUCAGGAUUAUAUAAUACCAGUGAAUGGACUAUAAACAAGAAUGUGUGUGUGGUGGGGAGGGGGGGGUUAUGAAUUGAAAUCUUGUCAAUUCGAUGUGUCCAUACAAGGCAAUCUCUUGUUUUGCACUUCCUUAUUUUGCAAUAUGCUUUUCGUCAUCAUUUGCUUUCUUUCAAUUUCUUAUUUUUGUGGUAACGCUCACACCAAACUUAUUUUAUUGUUACUUGUGGAUUUUGUAAACAACUUUAGGCAACCCUACAAAAUCGAUUGCCUUUUUUUUUUCUUUACAAAUAUAAAUGUCUUUAUGCACGAUAUAGUUUGUUAAUUUGCUGAAUAUUCAGCUCAUUGAUGAAUAUUCUAAUAUUGUUCCUUCUAAAUGUUUCAUGUAUGACUCUAGACUAAUGAGGUCAAAGUUCAUUUGAAUUUCUUGUUGAUGUCUUCAUUUGUAAUUAAUUGGUCUAUGGGUUUUAGAUGAGGCACCUCAUCUCGGUCAUAUGUUCUUAAUAGAAACGAACUAGCUCACGUCUUCAUAUUCUGCAAUAGGCAUUAAUUUGGUGUGGUGCUUUUAGCAAUAACUUUCUCGUAAUGUGUCAUGCAAAUUGUGUGUAUCCUAGGUAAAAAAACCCGACAGGUGUCACCGAUGGCUAUAUAAGAAGCUAAACCGGGAGCACCUGAGCAUUAGCCUUUCAUGCCUGGGCUAUCGGGUAGUCACCAACCUGGUCUCAAGGAGUCCAAAUACGCUCUGUGGACCUUGAUUCGUCGGACAGUCCACGAUCAAUGGGUGGAGCCCCGGUUACUCUAUAAGAAGUUGAACCGUGGGCUCCCAUGCAUCGACCAGGUCCACCUCAGACAAGUAGGCCAGGUCUGGCCCAGUAAAGUCCAGCUGCGACAGGGGCUCAUCUAAAGGCUUAGCAUAGAAGCCCAGAGGACCUGGCCAGGGUAUAUGGAAUGAAGAUUGGGCCUUUGGUCAGAGGAGUCAAGCCCAAGUCUUUGCUUCCGGAUUUGGUCAAAUCCAAGUCCCAACCAACUGGAUAAGUCCAGCAAGAUUCCAGGCUAACAGAACCCAUUGUUCUAGCCCGCUUGAGAAGAUAAAAGAAGACCCAGGUUGAACCAGGACCUAUCAGAGGAUGCCACAUGACAGUCAUCCUAGUAAAAAAAGAUUCAAACCAAAGGGAUAACCGCUCGGCAGCAUGCAAGCUAUCUCUACGGAAAGCAUCUUCACAGUUGAACUACCUGAGUUCAUGGAGUCAAAACCGGAGGGGUGGUUGAGUCAGCUUCUUCCGGCCUACUACAAAUACAAGAGUCCUGAACCUCCUGAACUACGAGUCUUUCACUGAGCAGCUCUAUUAGAGCUUAGUGGAAGCAGAGACUUGAUUCCAACUUCAUCUUCUUGGAUACGUAGGCAGCCUGAUCCCGAUCAGGUCCAGUCUCAUUGUAUAUCCCCAUCUUAUCUCUGUCUAGACAAGGCUUUCAUUGUAACUGUUCGAUCAAUAUAUACAUAUCUCGAGUUUGUGGAUCAAAGUUUUGCACCCACACAAAUAUUGGACAAUUUCUUCGUAAGCUACCUAUUUCCUUAAAUUGUUUUAUGUACAAAAUAUCUGGUCAUCUUCAAUAAAUGAUAUUGUUUUGAUCACGAUUUUAUUUAAUUAUCACACCGAAAUUGGCUUCACAUCUGAUAUUCAUGUGCUUUCCAGUUUUCAGGAAGUCUGCCCUUGAUGCACUGCAUGUCCAAUAGCAGUGAUAAGAAAACUUUGAAGAGGUGAUUCUUUAUAGACAAAGAGGUUGGAUAAAUAUUUCCAAAAGGUAGAUAUUUGUGGUAUUGUUCUCUGCACUAACCAGCUAGCAGUUGUUGAUUUUCUAAACCUUUAUUGAACUUACAAACCAAAAAUACUUAAUCUGGAUCCGAUAAAUAUUUCCAAAAGGUUUUUAGCUCCCUUGUCGAAUUUACUAAAGAAAUUGAAGAUGCAAAAGUUCAAAAUACCAAGUUUUGUGUCUCUGCACAUUACCGCAAUGUUGAUGAGAAGGUAUAAUUUGUUGUGAACUUAAGAAAUAAUUUUGUAAUUUAAACUGAUUGUUUCUUAUUGUUCUGCUUCUGUAGUCUUAUAAGUUGGUUAUUGGGUUUCUUUCAGAAUUAGACUACAGUUGUACAUGGUGUGCAUGGAAUCUUAAAGGAUUACCGUCGUCUGCGGUUAACUCAUGGUAGGAAGGUAUGCUGGAGUAAACACAUGAAUAUCGUUGUCAUCUCAUUUUUGGGGAAGACCUUCAUGCUAAUUACAUGUUGCUAAUGUUGUUUUCUUUUCCUGUAAAGGUUUUAGAGGUUCGUCCCGUGAUUGACUGGGACAAAGGAAAGGCAGUAGAGUUUCUGCUUGAUUCACCUUGGUGAGUAGUUAUGUUUAAUUUGUUUCCUAGAUGUAGAAUCUUACCUAUUUCUUUUCUUAUUUUCAAGAUAAUACCAAGUUGAUAUAUUUUGCUUACCGAGUGUUAUAAAUUUGGUCCAGGAUUAAGUGAAAGUGAUGACGUCCUCCCCAUAUAUGUUGGUGAUGACCGGACAGAUGAAGAUGCCAAGGUAAAUACUAAAACAGAACUGAUAUAUACCGAGUGUUAUGAAGGUGCAUUGUUGUUGGUAAUAAGAUUUUCAGAUCAUAAACAGAUAUCAUCAUUAUCUUAAAUAAAAAUGCUCUUAGCUUGUUAGCUAAUAAUUGAGGCCUUGUGUCAGAAUACUAUAUACAGUUUUAUAGUGGUUGUAUAAGGGACCAGUGAUCCCUAAGAAACUAAAUUUACUGCUUAUAAUGUCUGUUAUUUACGAUAAGAAUGAGCUCCAGUGUAUUUGGCUGAACAAUAGAAAUUUUGUUUGGAGGUAUUCAAUAAUUUUUGUUUAAUAGUGCUGUUAUCUCCCAGAAGUCAUAUUUUCGUAAACUUGUAAGAUCAGGCCGCAAUACUCUUGUCCAACACAGUCUUGAUGCUGGUCUAAUUGCUAUUAAAAUGAUGCCAAGUUACAUUGUUAAAAUUGUUUCGGCUAACCUUUGUCAAAGCAACCAUUAUAGAUGACUAUAUUUUUUCCAUCCAGUAUGCCUAACGCUUAUGAGACCGAUGCCCCUCACCAUCCUUCCUAGUUGCCAACAAUUUUAACAAGGUACAGAAUUCUUAAUCUAGGUUACCUGCUUGUACUUCUCAGGUGAAGGCUCUUUAUGUGAAAAACCUACCUGGCAACGCUACUACUAAAAAGCUGGAAGGUUUGUUCCAACACCAUGCGAGGUCACAAAAGUUGUUCUACCGCAUGCUAAAUGGACAGAGCAAGAGAGAUUUUGGAUUCAUCCACUAUGCUGAGAGGUCAAGUGCAUUGAAGGCUGUAAAAGUUUAGAAUUUUGGAUUUUAUGGUGGUCUGGAAGAGUUUAGAAUUUGUUAAUUUGUUAUCAUUGUAACCAUUAUUUUGGAGUUUUGUCAUAAAUUUUGAGGAUUAAGUAAAAUGUAUGUAAACAUUUUCUUUUUUGGAAUUGGCAUCAGCAUGCAAUACUGAAAAUGUAAAUUCAAAUAAUUUUUAUUUUAUUUCCUAAAUUUUAUUUGCCAUUGUCCUUGGCAGUAGCAUGUAGCAUUUAUUUGCCACUGUCCUUGGCAGUGGCAAUUUUGGGCUUUUGCCACUGCCAUAGGCGGGUGAUUUAAGUUUUGGUCACCAAAGGUUUAUACUAAUUGGGGUUCGGAGCUGGUUUUUUUUUUAUUAGGCUUUGGUCAUGAACCGGAGAAAUCACGUGGAAUUCAUGGGAGAUGUAAUUGGCUAGAAAAAAAAAUUGCUCUUAUGCCUGGCACACCUCUUGAUCCACCACCACUAUCACUACUAAUACAUGACCUCCGGUCUUUAAAAAUUUAUGUUGAUUGAUUUCUCCUUUCAUAACCAAAUCUAACACCAUCCUCAUCCCAAUUAUCCCAACCUCCUCCAUUGCUCCUUGAAUUACCACCACCACUUAAAUUGAAACUUAAUUGAAUUUAGGGUUAUUUUGUAUUUGGUCCAUCUAAAAGAUGGGUAAUUAGCAUUUGGUCCAAUCUUUAUCGUUUAUUAGUAAAUGGUCCCUCUUCUGUCACUUGACUGUUAGUCAACCCAGUUGACCAGAGUCAAGGCAUCCAUAUUUUUAUAAUGACCAAACUACCUUUUCACGUGACUAGUACGUGGCAAAACUUUAAACUCAAAAAACGCAAUUUUGUUGUUUGUAAACAUGCAAAAUUAGUUUAUAGUCCUCCUUUUUCAUAUUUCGUUUUAAAUGUAGUCCCUGUAAAUAGUAAUGAAAAUAACCAUGGAAGUUAUCUUACCGGAUGGAACUUGAACAUGUAACCACGACCCAUGGAAUGUCUAUAAUUUUUCUUCACUUGAUUGUCAUCUUCACUUGUAAACACAAGAGAAUAAACUUCUAGAGGUUCCAUGGGUGGUGGUUACAUGUUCUACUUCACUCCAAGUAAGGUAAGAUAACUUCUAUAGUUAUUUUCAUUAUUUUUUACAAGGAGUAUAUUUGAAAUGAAAUAUGAAAAAGGAGGACCAUAAACUAAUUUUGCAUGUUUACAAACAAUUAAAUUGUAUUUUUUGAGUUUUAAGUUUUGCCACGUGUUAGGCACGUGAAAAGGUAGUUUGGUCAUUAAGAAAGUAUGGAUGCCUUGACUCUGGUCAACUGGGUUGACUGACAGUCAAGUGAUGAAAAGGAGACCAUUUACUAAUAAACGAUAAAUAUUGGACCAAAUGAUAAUUACCCAUCUCCUAGAGGGACCAAAUACAAAAUACCCCUUGAAUUUAACUUCUUAUAUCCUCCAUCUUCCAUUUUCUGCAAUUUAAUCACAAAUCCAGUGUUAUAGAUCUAACAAAAUUGGUAUGAACACCAAAAUACGAUGAUUGCAUGAACAUCGAAGACACAUAUAUAUUCCAUAUGAAACUGAUCCCCAUUGGGGAUUCAUUGGUGAACAAUCUACACAUAAUUUGUUUUUCCUGGUAAAAUUUCAAGAUGAAGAUCUAAAUCGAAUCUUUGGAUUUGUAUGAAAGAAACUCAUAUGUGUUCUGCGAUUGAAAAUUUCGAUCUCAAUAAAGAUUGGGUAGUAGUGGGGGUGGGGGUGGUGGCCGGUGAUGGGGCAGUGGGCAAGAUAGAGGUGGAGGAAAGGAAAUUAAGAGGGGAUGAGAAAGAAGAAAAAAGUAUAAGCAAUGACUGUUGCUACUUAAACUGGUGAUGGGUUAGCUAUUAAGAGAGAGAGAGAGAGAGAGAGAGAGAGAGAGAGAGAGAGAGAGAGUCGUUGGAUUAUACUUAUCUGGACUACUUUGAUAUUUCUUUCGUCAUGUGCACUGCACAAGCAUUUUUAUAGGGGCAAAUUCAGGUAUUUUGAAAAUAUUGCUACUUAAACUGGUGAUGGGUUAGCUAUUAGAGAGAGAGAGAGAGAGAGAGAGAGAGAAAGAAAUAAAACCAGCUUUGAACCCUAAUUAGUAUAAACCUUUGGUGACCAAAACCUAAAUCACCCGCCAUAGGCUGUGACAUGAUUUAAGGGCAUUAAUAUAAUAAACUCUCACUAAAUAUAUAUUGACAUGAUUUUCCAAUAAUUGUUUUUUCUUUUCUUUUUUUUAUUUUUAUCUAAGCUAGGGUUAGGCAGACCCUCACCCGAUUUCAUUAAUUAAACCUGAAAUACAGUGUUCCAGAUGUAUCAUUAUGAAGAAUUACAUUCAAACCUAUCAUCAAAGGACCUACAAAGAACAAUGGAUCAUAAUGUCCAAGACCUCCUAGACCUGCAAUGUAGUCUGCCGCUUGGUUGCUUUCUCUAUAUGUGUGCCUUAUAGAUAAACUGUCAAACUGCCUGCUUGAUCUCAAUAUGCCAAAAACCUUGUCUCUGCAAUACCAAGGUGCCACUUCCUUCCCGAUCAUAAUCUUCUGUGCUCUGAGUGAAUCAGUUGCAACUUCCACCUUCCUUAAGUUUAACAUUUCUGCACCUUUAAGACUAUAUCCUAUCGCAUCCAAUUCUUGUAUAAGAACUGAAUCACUUAAGGAGCCACCAUUAUAUGCCAAUAGGGUCACUAGUUCACUGUUUCUGAUCAAUCCACCAUAUAUACCCUCUCCUAAUAUUAUUAACUGCACCAUCAGUAUUAUUCAACAUCUGUCUUUUGCCACUUACAUGCGAUUGUGCUCCUUGUUUUGUACCUUGGGCAUAUACCAAGCUUGUCAAGCAAAACUUUUACCUCUUGGGUCUCAUGAAUCUCCUCUUACUGAACUUGAAGAUAGGCAGUGAUUAUGCCUUCCACCCACAAAAUGUAGAGUUCACAUCUAGAUGCUUACGUAUUUAUAUACGGAAGACCUCUUUCUAGGUUGCAGUUAAAGCCUGAAUGAUAUUGUAUGUUCCAUGUGUACUAGAUACACAGAUCCCAAUAUUCAAUUCCAAAAUGAGUCAGGUUUUUCAUUUGGAAGGACAGUUCGAUAGGCUUUGGAUCAGUUAAUAUAAAUUUGGAAUCUUAAUUAGUUGCCAGGGUUUCGUAACACAUGAAUUUGGCCAUUCUUUCUGUUGCCUAAGGUGCUAUAAGUGAGAUUGGCGCCUUGUGCCUCGCCUCGUCUACGACACAUCAUAACUUUGUCUUUUCAUUUCUGAAUUAUUUAUUAAUAUUACUUGUACUUUCAGGAAGCACUUAAUACCGCGACAUCAAUCACUCGAACCUUAAGAGGAGAAAUUGCUGAUGGUCAACGGAAGCUCUUGGCACUUGCAACUGCUGGCGCCAACUCAAAGCCAUCAAUCCUUAUGUUGUGCUUUUGGUAUAUUUAUGCAGUCAAAAGCCUCUAGGGUUGUGAUGCAAAUCCCAUAUAUGCCCCAUGAGUAUUGCAUGAUAUGGCUAGACUUUUGCCUUGGUGAAAUGCACAACCCUGAAUCUUGACGUUCAACUGCACAGAUCAACUUGAACUUGCUUUUUUGUGCAAUGAAUCAUGUAACUAUGUUCAAGAACUCUUCAUGAUGGCGUGUGCAUCCUUGAUUUGAGCAUAUUAUUUCUUUGCAACAGGUUGAGGACUUGAGGCGCCAAUGGAUCCAACCAAAGAACUAUCUAGAUUGAUAUCUGAACGGAAGUUUGAGGAAGCAUUUACAGGAGCUCUGCAAAGAAGUGAUGUCUCCAUUGUUUCGUGGUUGUGUUCUCAGGUGUGCUUUAAUUUUACAUGCGUAUACAUUGCGAUAGAUCUGAGAUGUAGAUUUUUUCUACACUUUAGCAUAUUUGUAUUCCAAAAGUUGGUGGGUGCUUUGAAUCUGGUUGUAUGUUAGUUGUGGGAAGUUUGUAACAAUGACACUAUUGUUGUAACUAAUCCUUGUUAUAUUCUUCAAUGAUGUAUCAAGGUUAUUCAAUAAAUACCUUUUCUUAAUAAAAAUUAAAAACAAAUAGAUUGAUAAUUCUUAAUACCUUUCCUUAAUAAAAAUUAAAAACAAAUAGAUUGAUAAUUCUUAUCUGUAAUCAACCGAGCUUGAUAUUACCUGGCUUGUCAUGUCCUAACGUUGGUCUUUUGUCGAGAAGUGUGUUAUCAAUCGAAAGUAGACUCCAGUUGACUAGCUAACAGCUACUUACCUUUCUAUCAUGUAUAUGGUGGGAGACUGAGUUUGGCUAGCAAGAAGUUGCUGUUGAGGCACAAGGUGAAACCGACAUUCGGUUGUUUGACAUUAUUUUGUGACUUGGUGUGUGCGUGGUUAUCUCGCCUUGAUCUUAUUAUUAGGAAUACCUUGAUGUAUGAGCGUCGUCCCCAGUAUCCUUUCUCUCAUCGAGUCUGUCAGUUGGUUGUUUGGUACAGUACGUACGUACCUAGUUAGGACGUACGUACGUAGGGUUGAACAUAUCUUAUUGCUUUAGUUUGGACGUACGUACGUCCUGUUCAACAGAUCACUUAUUUUGUUCAGGGACGUACGUACCUAGUUAGGGCGUACGUACGUCAUGGUGUAUUUUUCUUUUUCGGCCCAUUUUCUCUCUCCUCCAAAACCCUAAGUAUAAAUAAGUUUUCAACCAAAGAAUAGGGUAGACUUUUGGCCAUCUAAUUGAGGUGUUCUUCCUGAGUUUGUUUAGGGUUGUGUUUUGGUGAUUGAACUCAUCCUUUCCUCUUCAUUCAUUCUUAUUCUUCCAUAUUGAUUAUUGAGAUCGGCUUCGAGUCUUCUUGUGUGUUCAUCAAGAAGUCGAGUGUCUUGUGCGUACAUCAAGGUAGUCUGGUGAAGUCAAGGUGUUAGAGAUAACUAGUAGUGUCAACUCGCAGUGAGGGCAGGUAGUUGAUAGGUUUGUACAUCUCUUUUCAUCUAGUGGAUUUAUUUGUUGUCCCAAGGACAACCGUGGACGUUUCCCAUAUUGGGUUUUACCACGUUAAAAAUACAGUGUGUUCAAUUACUUUCUGUUCAUUGAUUUGUUUCCUUGAAUAGUUGUGAUUGUGGUAAUAGCACUAUUUGUGGAGUUUCACAAGGUACCUCCCUACAUACAACGGAGCGUCUAGCCAACCAAUGUGUAUGAAAGUGAUGCAAACAAACCAAUGUAAGUAGUAAAACAAUUAAACCUACUUACCAACAACCAAACGUAAAGAGAGACACCAAUUUUAACGUGGUUCGGCAAUUGCCUACGUCCACCAACCAAAGAGGAGAGCUUCUUAUUAACAAAUCAACAAAGAUACAAAGUAUCUAACCAAUAGAGAAAAUCUCCCAACAAAUCUCUCACUCACCAAACAAAUCUCUCUCUACCAAUAAUCCUCACAACUCUCACAAGGAGACCAAUAAACAAUUGAGGAUGAUCCUCACCUCACAACUCUCUCAAAGAGAAAAACAACGAUUGAGGAUUUAGGAUGAGGAUGUGGAUACUAAACCAAUCCCUAAGACCUUAUAUUUAUAGCCUUUAGGGUGUACAAAACAAAUUCCUAAAAGGAAUAUCAAACUUAAUCAAAUUGGAAGUCGUAUUCCAAUACCAAAUUCUAAAUCCUUAAUAUGGACUUAGAAAUCCAAAUAUGAAACGGAUUCCUUAUAGAACCGGUUUCCCAACAAUUCUCCACCUCGGUGAACAACCAAACCAAAGUGGUCGGACCAUCUUGUGGCUGCCUACGUACCUUCCAUGGGAUCAAGCCAUCGUAGUUCUUCCAAACGGACAUCUUUCGAUGCCCACUAUGCCCCAAAAGGCCAAUCCCCCUAAGGGGCUAAAUCAGAACAAAUGCCCAUCAAUGCCCGUAAAGGGUUAAUGCCCCAAAGGGCCAACAAACAUACAUCAAAACAAUGGGGUCGAAACUACUAAAUACCAUAUCCACUUUAUGACCAUAACCACCUGAAGAUGAGUAUGUAUCAAUACCCCGAAACCCACUAAGGUCUCCAACCAACGGCUUCACAGCUACAACUGGUUCAUGGGUUUGAACCUUCCAACAAACAUUUGUGGCUAACAAACUAACAUCUGCUGUGUCACCAAACAAACUUUCAUAAGGAGCGUCAUCAGUCUCCACCUGCUGAGAUAUCUCUUCCAACUUCCAACUAUCAUCCAAACAAUGAUGCCUAAAAGAAACUUUACGUACCUUACCACCAUUCAACAAGCCAUGCUUGCCGGUACGUCUACCAAAGCCACAAUUAACCAAACUAUCCGACAAACUGGGAGGAGUCAAACAAUCAACCAAAUUGGGAGGAAUACCUCUACCACCAGCAGUACCAUUAAGAUAGUACAAAUUCUUUCUUCUUGUCCCUUUCAUAACAACCAAUGCACAAGAAACAACCCUUAAAGCCUCAUCUUGCAAAACAAUAUUCAUACCAACAGACUCUAAGGUUCCAUAAAAGAUGAGAUUCAAUUUCAACUUCGGAACAUACCGAACACCAACUAAUUCUUUAACUGUACCAUUCUCCAACUUCAACUUGAUAGUUCCCACACCAGAUGUUCUGCAGGUACGGCUGUUACCUAGCAAAACUUUAUCAUUUAGCUUUUUAAAGCUACCAAACAAAUCCCUGUUGGGAUACAUAUGGUGAGAACCACCAGGAUCCAUAAUCCACUCCUUAGUAGGACAAUCAACAAAAACAACAAAAGAAUAAUUGGAAUCAUCAUCAACUUCAGCUUGUGCAAUAUUUGCAUUCUUAUCUUUUGAGGAUUCGAAAUCAUUCAAUUUCGACAACUUGGGACAAUUGAAUUUCCAAUAUCUUUUUCCACGACAAAAGGCACUUUCAUCAUCAGACAAAGCCCGCGAACCAACUCUCGACUUAGAUCGAGAUCUUCCUUCUCUACCAGUACUACGAUCUUUAACAAAUUCUUUCCCCGUCAACAAAGUGGUGGACAAAUGGUCAUAUUCAUCGGGGAAAGUUUUCAAACGAAUUCCUUUCAUACCUUUCAACUCGAACCCGAAGAUAUAUCCGACAUAGUACCAAUCACUUUCAAACACCAGCAAACCAAUCAAACAAACGAAACCCCAAAGAGUUUCACAACAACAACAACAAGAAAACCCAAGAUUGGAUUUUCAACAAAUCUGAAAAAACAGAACCGUCAACUUCAAAGAAUUACUGUUGAUUUUCCAACCCAAAAAACGGAGAACUCACCAUACACUGUUAGAAAGAGUGAAGAGUCUACUUUCCAACCCAAAAAACGGAUCUAAGUUUCGAUAUCUGAGUACAAAGUUAUGGGCGUUUUACCACAGGGUGUCGAAUCUGGACAGAUUCCUAAAACCUGAACAAAACCCUACAAACAAUGUUCUGCAAUCCCUUCUACAACCCAAAGGAAUAACCUUCAGCUCUUGAUACCAAUUGUUGAGGCACAAGGUACCUCCGAACAUAAAACGGAAGCGUCUAACCAACCAAUGUGUAUGAAAGUGAUGUAAACAAACCAAUGUAAGUAGUAAAGCAAUUAAACCUACUUACCAACAACCAAACGUAAAGAGAGACACCAAUUUUAACGUGGUUCGGCGAUUGUCUACGUCCACCAACCAAAGAGGAGAGCUUCUUAUUAACAAAUCAACAAAGAUACAAAGUAUCUAACCAAUGGAGAAAAUCUCCCAACAAAUCUCUCACUCACCGAACAAAUCUCUCUCUACCAAUAUAAUAAUCCUCACAACUUUCACAAGGAGACCAAUAAACAAUUGAGGAUGAUCCUCACCUCACAACUCUCUCAAAGAGACAAACAACGAUUGAGGAUUUAGGAUGAGGAUGAGGAUACUAAACCAAUCCCUAAGACCUUAUAUUUAUAGCCUUUAGGGUGUACAAAACAAAUUCCUAAAAGGAAUAUCAAACCUAAUCAAAUUGGAAGUCGUAUUCCAAUACCAAAUUCUAAAUCCUUAAUAUGAACUUAGAAAUCCAAAUAUGAAACGGAUUCCUUAUAGAACCGGUUUCCCAACAUGUAUUGCAUUUUAUAUAAAUUUGUAUAUCUAUCAUCCACUAUACUACUGACGCUUUAUUAAACUUGCAUUUCAGUUACAGGUAGAUCCUUUAGUUGUCUAUUGUUGUAAGUUUUCUUUUUUCUAACUAUCCUGGUCUCGCCUCUUCCAUUAGGUGGAUUUGCAGGGAAUUAUGGCAAUGGUGCCUCUCCCUUUGAGUCAAGGUGUUCUUUUGGCUCUUCUCCAGCAAUUGGCAUGCGAUAUCAGCAAGGAUACAUCCCUAAAUCUAACAUGGAUGAUGGAUGUGGCGGUUGCCAUAAACCCAGUGGAUCCAAGAAUCGCUAUGCAUAUUCUACCAAUCUUUGAGCAGGUUUACCAGAUGCUUGGCCAUCAUCGUUCUCUACCGACAACUACUUCUGCUGAAGCUUCUAGUUUCCGCCUUCUCAUCCAAAUCAUCAACUCAGUGUUGGUGAACUGUAAAUGAACAUAUAGUGUAGAGUUACUGUUAAUGAGCGUUUGAGCAUUGGUAGAUUUGUAUAGAAAAGGAGUUCCAGGAUUUUAUUUUGGGAGAGUAGGUUUUUUUGUCCCCAUUAAAUACGUCUCCCAAAAAUGGCAUGGCUGCUAUUCCUUGUGUACUCCUCAAAUACAAUGUCUGCUUUAUGAUUUUUGUUCAUAUUUUUGAAUUAGUUUCUGUCAGCUGAAAACUAAGCCCUUGUGUGACUUUACAUUAUAUGUUGUUGGGUCUUUUAUCACUGUAGUGGUGGGUGACAUUUUUACAGUGACCCUGUAACAUGGUGUAGUCUAAUUUCCUGGCAACAUGAAUUAUUUAUUGUAAAAUGUCUGCAUUCAGGAAAAUCUUUUCAAAGGUUCCCCAUACUGUUGAUCUCCAUAGUGGACUGGAAUUCAGUAUCUGUGUAAGAUUAAACAUCAUUGUGUACUGACCCAGAAAUUUCUGCUGAACUCCUAGUUGUGGCAUUCUUUGUGCUUAUGCCUUAGGGUUCCCUUUUCACAACAAAACUCUCGUCUCUUGGAUGCUGAAAGUUCAGUUUCCUCCAAGAUGUGAGAGCCUUGAGUUUCCUGGCAAUUGUAACACCCUGGGUUGGCUGGUGGUUUGCCGAGGGGGUGGGUCCAACGGAACUAAGAGGGGGAUGUCCGGGCAUUGGAAUAUAGGUAUAGAUCCGUAAUAUAUAAUCACCGAGGCCUUUUGGGUUCAUUUGGCUCUAGAUAUCGAAAGAACUCCGGAGUUAAGCGUGCUCGGGUGGGAGUAGUUUCAGGAUGGGUGACCUCCUGGGAAGCAAGCUCCUGCCCAAUAAAAACCCCACACUGUCGGACGUCCGCAGUGGCUAAGUGGGGACAAUAUCGAUGGUGGUAUAGGUCGGGUCGCUACAAAUGGUAUCAGAGCCGACGAUGGUUCUCCUGUCGAGGGUGGGAGAGUAUGCUGGAAAGGCGCCUAGCCCAGGAAGGGGUCAGUUACGCCAGGUACUCAUCUCGCGAGGGGUAGGGAAUGUCGAAGAUCUGGGGCUGUAUAUUCCAGAGCUGAGGACGACUCUCCUCUAAGGUGGUGGGAUUGUAACACCCCGGGUUGGCAGGUGGUUUGCCGAGAGGGUGGGUCCUACAGAACUAAGAGGUGGAUGUCCUGACAUUGGAAUAUAGGUAUAGAUCCGUAAUAUAUAAUCACCGAGGCCUUUUGGGUUCACUUGGCUCUAGAUAUCGAAAGAACUUUGGAGUUAAGUGUGCUCGGGUGGGAGUAGUUUCAGGAUGGGUGACCUCCUGGGAAGCAAGCUCUUGCCCAAUAAAAACCCCACACUGUCGGACGUCCGCAGUGGCUAAGUGGGGACAAUAUCGGUGGUGAUAUAAGUCGGGUCGCUACACAUUAGGCAUGGACGCAUCACCCAUGGUGCUAAUGGCCUUCCCUAAAUCAGUAUUGAGGAUUUUAUGUGCUGUUAAAUUCAUGGAUGAUCAGCAAAAAUGCACUUGUGGUGUUUUAGGCUUGUCAUCACAUUAAAAUUUGUCUGUCCAAUGCCUAAAAGUGAAACAAGAAGAUGAAAUUAUGUUCAUUUAUUGGUAACGGUGAGAUGGUUUCCCACCUUCAACAGGUGGGAGGGACAUAUAUUAUAGUUGAAUUGACUACUUCACAUAGUGCCCAAAAUUCCUUUUACAUACAUCCAUUAGUAACAGGUAUACCUUUCUGAAUAAGUCUAUCAGUAGUUAGUAUACUUCCCGAGAACAUCUGCCAGCAUGUAAAAGAAUGCUUAGGAAUUACAAAGUUCCCCCAAACCAGCUUUGCCUAGUUAAUCUUUGGUCUUUUAGGCCUCAAUGCUUUGAAAGCAAUCUUGGUGUUGAACUCUCCUGAAGAGGUUAACUUCCAUAAAAAUUGAUCAUGAUCUGAAUUUUGAAGAAUAGGAGUUCUAAAAAUCAUUUGGUAAAGAUCAGUAUCAUGACUUUGAAGGACAUCUUCAUUCCAUCUUCUCUCACUGAUCAGAACAUGUUGGGAAUAACACCAAUGAUGUGAAACGUGAUCUACACAAAUAAAGCUAUAACCUUUAUCAAAGACAAUGGCUUGAAGUAACUAGAAUAUCAAUCAACCAAGUAAACAAUCACAAAUAACUAGAAAGUAAUUAAGAUAACAAAAUCAAACAUCUACAACACAAGAUAUAUGUGGUUCGGUGUAAGCCUAUGUCCACGAAUAAGAUAAAGAUGGUUUCACUAUGAAAUAGAAAAGAUGUGAUACAAAGAGCGGACUCCUUCACCUCACACAAACAAGUUCUUUCAAGUGAUUCUUGUAAAUCUCUCAAGCACAAGUUCUUCUUCUUUUCUCUCACCUCAAUCUCUUUCUUUUUCUCUCUUAAUGAAUUUGGAAGUCACACAACUCAACUCUUAAAGGUUUUCUACACUCUCUAGGCUUUAUAUAAUAGCCAUAAGAACUGCAAAACUUCACCAUAUACAAGUGUAGCGAAUACUCCAGCAGCUAUGGACAUGACAAAACAUGUGUCCAUCGGCUAUGGACAUGACAAUUCCAUACUUCUGCAAAACUGCAAAACUCCAGUGGCUAUGCAUCCUGCAAAACUCUGUCAAAAUAUUGGAGUCGUUUUUCCUCCAAACUUCUUAUCUCUAGAGGACGUGCCAUAUACCAUUGGAAAGGUAGAGAGUCCUCUUUCUAACCCACAAAACAGAUUGACAUUCUGAUCACUGAGCAGAAAGUUAUGGUCAUUCCAAUACAACUGUCCAACUCCAGUGGCUAUUGACAUGACAAUUCCAUACUUAGCCAAAUUUUCCGAAAUCUCCAGUGGCUAUGCAUCCUACAAAACUCUUUCAUAAUAUUGGAGCCGUUUCCCCGCUAAACGACUUAUCUGAUCACGGAGCACAAGGUUAUGGCCAUUCCAAUACAGGCUGUCCAAAUGAAGAUACCGAAAAAUUGUACAACAAUUCUCCACCUCGGCGAAGAUUCACAAAUCUGAGCCGACAACAUCAAGACAUAAAAAUCCAAAAGAACAUAAGAAACCACCCAUCACCAUCUUACCACAUAUACCCUGAAAGGCCAAAGCGGUUGCACCACUAAGUAGUUGCCUAUGUAUCCUCCUCCAAAGGAAUCAAGCCAUCGUAGUUCUCUUCAAGCCACAAAGGGCUAUCAAGCAAUAGGUUGAAUGUGUAGCAACUUCAAGCAAUAUGUGAACUUUGCUCCAUCAACUACCUUAGUCAACAUAUCAGCCGGGGGUAUGCACUUUGGGAAGUGCAAUCUCACCAUCUUCAAUCACGUCACGAACAAAGUGAUAAUGUACAUCAAUAUGCUUGGUUGUAACAUGAUGAACUUGGUUCUUAUCCAAGUGAAUGGCACUUUGGUUAUCACAAAAGACAUUAACCAAAUUUUGCUCAACACCCACGUCACCAAGCAAUCCUCAAAGCAAUAUAGCCUCUUUUAUUGCCUCCGUCAUAGCCAUGUACUCAGCUUCCGUAGUAGAUAAAACAACUGUAGACUGUAACAUAGAUCUCCAACUAAUCGGUGCACGAUGCAUAACAAACACAUAACCAGUAGUAGACCUUCUUCUAUCUAGAUCACCAGCAUAAUCUGAAUCUGAAACUGGCACUCGGUUAUUUGACAUUAAUUUUGUGACAGUGAUUGUCUCGGUUAUCUCGCCGAGUUCAUUGUUAGGAAAACCAAGUUGUACGCGCAUCGUCCCGAGUAUGUGUCCUCGCGUUCUUUUGUCAAAAGUAAGUUUUGGGGUUUAGGACGUACGUACCUAGUUAGGGCGUACGUACGUCAUGUUAGGCAGCAAACAUAUUUUGGUCAGGACGUACGUACGUCCAAGCAGGCAGCGAACUAUUUCCGUGUGGGGACGUACGUACGCUAUUUCGAUGUACGCAAAGUCCGGUCCAUUUUCUAUGUUUCCAAACCCUAACUAUAUAUAGGGUUUCUCUACCCAAUGAACAAACUAGUUCUUUGGCCGUCCAAUUCAUCUCUAGUCUUGGAGUUUGUUUAGGUUUUGGUUUAGGUUGUUUUGGUGAUUGAACUCAUCUUCUUCUUCCCCAUUCAUCUUCUUCUUCAUUAUUGAAUAGUGAUUUAGCUUCGAGUUUUCUUGUGUGUUCAUCAAGAAGUCAAGUAUCCUUGUGUGUUUAUCAAGGAACUCUGGUGUAAGCUUGUUACAUAGAUCGGCUUUGAGUCUUCUUGUGUUCAUCAAGAAGUCGAGUGUCUUGUGCGUACAUCAAGGUGCUCUGGUGAAGUCAAGGUGUUAGAGAUAACUGGUAGUGUCAACUCGCAGUGAUUGCAGGUAGUUGAUAGGUUUGUACAUCUCUUUUCAUCUAGUGGAUUUAUUUGUUGUAGCAAGGACAACCGUGGACGUUUCCCAUAUUGGGUUUUACCACAUUAAAAAUAUUGCGUGUUCUUUAUUUGUUUGUCGUUUCAUUAUUUGCCUUAUUAUUGUUAUAUUGCACAUAUAUUGGGUUUUCAAUUGGUAUCAAAGCAGGGCGCUUGUUAUGGAGCGUAAUGGCUCACGCGUAGAUCCUAUGAGUGCAAUAAUGGUUCAUGAGUCUGGUCAUAAUAAUUUUAUUGCUAAAUCGUCUAAAUCCACAAAACCAAAAUCUGAUUCUGAAAAGGAUGAUAAUUUGUAUGUUGUUAGCAAUAGUGAUUGGGCUCUUCUUUACACGGUUUCUGCAAAAGAAUGUGAAAGGUUACAAAAAGCUAAUAUUGAUUUGCAGGAAAAGUUCAAUAAAACUAAUUGUAAUUUGUCUACUAUUUUUGAUAAUUUUUGUUUUGAAGAUAAUGGUGUUUUGCGGACUAAGGUUGAUUCUCUAGUACAACGACUCAGAUAUUGUGCAGAAAACUAUAUGCUUCAAGGGGAAGUUUAUGAAUCCAAAAUUGAAAAAUUGGAUAAGGUUAAUCUUACUUUGCAGGAUAAAGUUGAGACUCUUGAAAAACAAAUUCUUUCUGCUACAGAUGAUUCAAGUUCUAUUUCUAAAUUAUUUGAACAAGAAACACUUGACUUGUUGUAUAGAAUUGCAGAUCUGGAGAAGGCUAAUCAUGAAGGUGAAAACAAAUAUAAAUCCCUUUUAGUUGAGUUUGAGGUAACCAAGAAAUAUUUUGCAUCUACUCAACUCAUAUUGCAGAACAAAACCAGAUAUGACCUUCCUAAUGCUAAUUGUAGUCGUUGUUUAUCAAGUGUGACUAUUUUUGAACAAUCUAGCUUGUCUGCCCUUUUGCCUACCCCACCUAUUGAGACUAGACUUAAUAUUAAUACUUUUCGGCAUAUUUCUCGCAAAAAGGUUAAGUCUAAAGCUAAUGGUAAGGCUGUUUUUACUGAUAAGCCAUAUUGUUCUCAUAAUGGAGGUAUAGGUCUUGUUAAGGCACCAUGUUACAAAUACAAUGGUGACAUACAUGUUUUAUCUUCUACUACCACAUCUUUUUUGAGUAAGUCUAAUAUUUUUCAUUGUUCUUAUUGUGGUAGAGUUGGUCAUUUGGAUAUCUUUUGUUGGGAUUUUGAUCAACAUGUUUCAUCCUAUUCUCGUGUUUCUCAUCGUUAUAAUCAUGUUGAUUCUAAUGUUCCUUCUUGUGCAUUUUCUAGACCUUGGAAUUAUAAUGGUUCUCAUCACAGGUUUAAGAAAAACAGGUAUCCCAACACAAGGAAGUCUAAGACUAAGGUGGAAUUAGGUAAGGACAAGUGUAUUGCAAACCUUGUUAAGGGGAAAUCUCAUAUCUUUUCAACCCCCAAGGUGUGCACGCCUAGUGCUAAACAAGUAUGGGUAAGAAAAGAUAAGUUGCAGGUUUUUCUGGACUUGCAAAAGUCUGGUGGUGUCCCAUAUUUGGGAUGAUAUAGUUUGUUUCUAGUCUUGUGUUAUUUUAAUUGCAUAUUUUUCUAACCACAUAGGCUAUUUUUUUUUUUUUUUUUUUUGUUCUUCUGUUUAUGCAUGCGUUAAUUGGUCUUUCAUUAUUCCAUGUAUGUGUUGUAGGAUACAUCCUUUCUGCGAUACUAGUUUAAUUCAAUUGUCUUAAAUAAGUUGCAAUUUGUUUGGGCGGUUUAGGUUCUUUUAUUACUUCUCGUCUAUAGGCUUCGUCUUAGGUGUUGAGGACAUACUAGUCUAUUUAUUGUUUGGAUUCCAUUCUUUUUGGCUAGUUAUAGUUUGGUAACUUCAACUGUGGAUUCCUGUCAAGGAUUGUUGUAGGGCUGCAUCAGACUCCCUUCGCCUUUGGUGGUUUACUGCAUGAUGCAUUUUCAUGUUGUGGGAUUUUUAGAGUAUUUUUAGACCUUGAUCCUUGUAUGAUUAGGAAAUGAUCAUCUGACAUCAUCUCUAGCUUCUGUUUUCUUCAUGGUCAUCAUUCCUUUUAUAUAUACCUCUUGUAAGUGGUCAAUGACUCACAAAAUCCCCAGCCAUUUGAAUGUCUUAGGCGCAUUAUCAGUUGGCUAGGAACCCGUUGGGGCUGUGAGGGUCAUGCUCUGACGGAUGCACUCAGGAGAUGUUAGUUCUUGUGUUGCACGUUAUCAUGGUAUUGCACUCCUUGAGUGUGUUUUGCCGAAAAGAUGUAGGCUACACCCUACCCUCGUGUUUUGGUAAAAGAUGGAGGUGUACUAUACUCACACGAGAAUGGCACUUGUUUUAAAUGGAUAAAACCAAUAAAAAUAUUCAUAUAUAUUUGAACCAGGGUCUUUCCGUAUUGCGGCCUAGACAGUGUUUCCUUGGUUUUUCUUAUGGUCCGGUUCACAUUUCAUGUUUGUCCUAUUGUAAGUGACCUUCAAUAAACUCAAUGAUCUUAGUUUCGGUUUGUUCCCGGAUUUUUUUUAAGGUGAUUCCCUCUUCUAAGUAUACCCGGAUUUUGGUAUAGGUCUACCCUGCUUCUCCUGCAUGCUUGCAUCAUUCUUUUGAGUACCGUGGUUUGGUGUAUGAUUUAGUUCUUCGUUCUUGCAUUUUCUCAUGGUUGAGGCUUGUUCAAAUUGUAUUCGUGCUUUAAUCGGAAUCCUUACAAUACUUAGAAAUUUUUCCAUGUGAUGUCUCUCAAUAUUUGUGUUGUUAGUUAUUCGAUUUGUUUUUCUGUUGUUAAGGUUAGUUCUCUAUUGUUUUUUUUUUUUAAAUUUAAAUUAAAUUUAAAAAAAAAAAAAAAGAGUACGUACGUCGUUAGGACGUUCGUACGUUCAGGGAGACAGAACUUUUUUCUUCUCGAACGUACGAACGUUACUGCAACAGUUUUGGCCCAUAUCUUAGUUUUUAAACUCAAGUGUUUACAACUUUUGCUCAACUGUUCAAAUUCAAAUCGUUACACCAAGUAAGUCCUCCAUAUAUAUCACUACUGUUACACCAAGUAAGUCCUCCUCCAUUCUCUUCUUCUUCCGUCUCUCUUCUUUUUUUUCUCUUGGUGAUUUAUGGUUAUAUGUUUCUGUUUGCUCUUGGUUGGAAGGUUGGUUAUCAUGUUUUUGUCUAGCUUACAUCAUUGAAUAUAUACUUGGUGUCUUGACAAGUUUGGGUGCUCGUGUGAUUCUUAAUGGUUAUGGAACCCUUGGACAUGUUUAGUAUUAUUAUCGACUGCGCAAUAUAGUGUUUUUGACUAUGUGUACUGUCUUGCACACCAAGUGUUUGCUCAAAUGCCUAAAUGAAAAUUCUCAACUGUUUUGGUUGUUACUUAGAGUGUUUUCUAACAUUCUUCGAUUGGUUCCUGUUCUGGGUAUGCAGGACAUGCCUCCUAAGCGAGCUCGGACUACUCCCACCAAAGAAACACCCGGUUCCAAGGGUGUUUCAUCAUCGGGCACACGUCCUCCUCGUGCUCAAAGGAGUAGAGGCGCCAUUCCUUCGGAUUCUUGUAUGCUUGUUGUUCUAGCAUUGGUUGUUGCUACCACCACUUAGACUGCUCUUUUCUACUGUAUGCAGGUUCAUGGACAAUGUGCGUGUCGUCAACUUUAUUUUUCUCUCAGUAACUUUACAGGCAGAUGUUCUUGCUGAAAGUGUUUAUGGCUUAUUCUAUUUUGGUUCCAUUCCUUGGUAAUUCUUUUCAGUCGGUGUUUCAUUGACAUACUAAGGUCAGAUUGUUAGUAUUAUUUGGUUUUAAACUUCAUGCUUUCUAUUUUUGUCAUUGGAUCACAUGUGUUUGAUGUGAUUCUCAAGGUAAUGGUUCUCAAUUUGUUUUAAGAAGGCUACAAGGUAUGCAUAAGCAUAUUUUGGUGAUGAAAUCAUGUUAUUAGUGUAUUCGUUUGUCAUGAUUUAUACUGAUUCAUGUUUUCUCAUAGGUUCUCAUCAUACUUUUCUAUGUUGGGAUAAUAUUCUUGAAUUACCCUGUUGGCUAGCUGGUGUUUGAUUAAAUGUUUAUGAGACUUGCCUAUCCUCUUAUUGUUGCUUCUUGUGCCUGGUUGAUCCUAUUUUUUCCUGCAAUAGGUUUGAUUAGAUGUGUUCUUGGUAGUCUUCUGCAAUAAUCCUCCUGCAAUGGUUUUGGGCUACCACUGUUCUACUUUGGGAUGCAUAUGCUCAGUUUGGUCAUCUAUUGUUAGCAAUUCUCUUCUAUGGACUCUCUAAUCUUUUUGACAAUGUAUGGCAUGUCAUCGGAGUCUUAGUGUUCUGGCAGGAAAUUUGCUCUGAAGUUGGAUUGUUGCUUUGUGACUUGGUGACAUCGAUAAUCCUUGCUCAUUCUUCAGAUAAAGCAUUUUUUUAUGAGUUUGAUGAUUGCUUAUCUUGUUUGGCAUAUGUUGAACUAAUUUUUGGGUUUCACUACGGUGGGCUUACAGGUUUAUUCCUUUUAUGUCUCUAUUCCAUUGUGUUUGGGAUAAUAUUUUCUUCUCUUUGUUUAUAAGAUUCUCUAAUUCUUUUUUAUGGUUGGAUAAGUUGUUUCAGUAACAUGUACAGAUUGGAUUUCCCCAUGGAUUCUCAAUGGAUUUUCUUAUACUUUACAUAUUUCAUCCUGCAGAUACUCAUAUUUCUGUAGUUUUGUCAUGGGUUUGACUAUUUGGUUCUUGGUCGUUAUUGUUAGUUGCCGAUUUCAUUGGGUUUGGUAUUUCUUCUUUUUUGUUUGUUUGCUCUUUUUCUCUAGAUAUUUUCCUACUAUGAAGUCGUUUCUCUGGAGUCUAUCUCAGGUCCUGACUCCUUCUUCUAUGUAUAGGUUUCUCUUGGUUUCUAUCAGGGAUUCAUGUUAUGUUUUCUUUUCUUCCCUCUGUUACCUAUAUAAGUAUUCAGUGUCUUUUCACUAUCUCCUUCUUAUCUAGUUUUGGUUCUUAUCUAAUAUCCCUUCUUGUGUCUGUGUUGGUACUCUUUCUUCUUCAUUUAUAUGCCUAGAUCUCUCUCAUGUCAUUUAGUUUUGUCUGUCAUGGAUUCCAGAUUUAUGGUAAGGUUUUCUCUUUCCUCUCUUCUUUUAUUCUUUGGUUCAUUUUGCUUUAUUCUUGUUUUGAUUUAUGACACCCCUUUGCACCAUUUGUGAUAAAAAGGGGGAGAUUUAUGACUCUAUUGUACUUUAUUGCAAUCCUUUGUUAGUGUAUNNNNNNNNNNNNNNNNNNNNNNNNNNNNNNNNNNNNNNNNNNNNNNNNNNNNNNNNNNNNNNNNNNNNNNNNNNNNNNNNNNNNNNNNNNNNNNNNNNNNNNNNNNNNNNNGAAGUAUGGGGGAGUUGUUCGAGGAACUUCCGUUGGCUCUUUGAUUGUUUCAGAAUUUCUUGUUGCUUCUGUUCGGUCUCUGAUGGUUAAAGCGUCUUACUCAAGAUGGAUAUCAUGUGCUGGUGACUCGGUAUGUAUUCUACUAUGAGUGUUUUUGUAGGCAUGUUUUAUAAAUGCCAUGGUUUGGGUUUGUAUGCACGUUUCAUAAGUGCUACUAGAGUCAUAGGUUUUUGUCACAAAAUCAAUGUCAAAGGGGGAGAUUGAAACUGGCACUCUGUUAUUUGACAUUAAUUUUGUGACAUUGAUUGUCUCGGUUAUCUCGCCUUAAGUUCAUUGUUAGGAAAACCAAGUUGUACGCGCAUCGUCCCGAGUCUGUGUCCUCGCGUCCUUUUGUCAAAAGUAAGUUUUUAGGUUUAGGACGUACGUACCUAGUUAGGGCGUAUGUACGUCAUGUUAGGCAGCAAACAUGUUUUGGUCAGGACGUACAUACCUAGUUAGGACGUACGUACGUCCAAGCAGGGUGCGAACUAUUUCCGUGUGGGGACGUAUGUACACUAUUUCGACGUACGUACGUCCAAUGUAAAAUCUGCAAAGUCCGGCCUAUUUUCUAUGUUUCCAAACCCUAACUAUAUAUAGGGUUUCUCUACCUAAAGAACAAACUAGUUCGUUGGCCGUCCAAUUCAUCUUUAGUCUUGGAGUUUGUUUAGGUUUUGGUUUAGGUUGUUUUGGUGAUUGAACUCAUCUUCUUCUUCCCCAUUCAUCUUCUUCUUUAUUAUUGAAUAGUGAUUUAGCUUCGAGUCUUCUUGUGUGUUCAUCAAGAAUUCGAGUAUCCUUGUGUGUUCAUCAAGGAACUCUGGUGUAAGCUUGUUACAUAGAUCGGCUUUGAGUCUUCUUGUGUGUUCAUCAAGAAGUCGAGUGUCUUGUGCGUACAUCAAGGUGCUCUGGUGAAGUCAAGGUGUUAGAGAUAACCGGUAGUGUCAACUCGCAGUGAUUGCAGGUAGUUGAUAGGUUUGUACAUCUCUUUUCAUCUAGUGGGUUUAUUUGUUGUCGCGAGGACAACCGUGGACGUUUCCCUGUUUGGGUUUUACCACGUUAAAAAUCUCUGUGUGUUAUUUACUUUCUGCGUACUGUUUGAUUGCUUGUUUGAAUUUACAUUUGUUAUACUAGCACUAUUUGUAGUUUCUCAUCUUGUAUGCUUGUUGUUCUAGCAUUGGUUGUUGCUACCACCACUUAGACUGCUUUUUUCUACUGUAUGCAGGUUCAUGGACAAUGUGCGUGUCGUCAACUUUAUUUUUCUCUCAGUAACUUUACAGGCAGAUGUUCGUGGUGAAAGUGUUUAUGGCUUACUCUAUUUUGGUUCCAUUCCUUGGUAAUUCUUUUCAGUCGGUGUUUCAUUGACAUACUAAGGUCAGAUUGUUAGUAUUAUUUGGUUUUAAACUUCAUGCUUUCUAUUUUUGUCAUUGGAUCACAUGUGUUUGAUGUGAUUCUCAAGGUAAUGGUUCUCAAUUUGUUUUAAGAAGGCUACAAGGUAUGCAUAAGCAUAUUUUGGUGAUGAAAUCAUGUUAUUAGUGUAUUCGUUUGUCAUGAUUUAUACUGAUUCAUGUUUUCUCAUAGGUUCUCAUCAUACUUUUCUAUUUUGGGAUAAUAUUCUUGAAUUACCUUGUUGGCUAGCUGGUGUUUGAUUAAAUGUUUAUGAGACUUGCCUAUCCUCUUAUUGUUGCUUCUUGUGCCUGGUUGAUCCUAUUUUUUCCUGCAAUAGGUUUGAUUAGAUGUGUUCUUGGUAGUCUUCUGCAAUAAUCCUCCUGCAAUGGUUUUGGGCUACCACUGUUCUACUUUGGGAUGCAUAUGCUCAGUUUGGUCAUCUAUUGUUAGCAAUUCUCUUCUAUGGACUCUCUAAUCUUUUUGACAAUGUAUGGCAUGUCAUCGGAGUCUUAGUGUUCUGGCAGGAAAUUUGCUCUGAAGUUGGAUUGUUGCUUUGUGACUUGGUGACAUCGAUAAUCCUUGCUCAUUCUUCAGAUAAAGCAUUUUUUUAUGAGUUUGAUGAUUGCUUAUCUUGUUUGGCAUAUGUUGAACUAAUUUUUGGGUUUCACUACGGUGGGCUUACAGGUUUAUUCCUUUUAUGUCUCUAUUCCAUUGUGUUUGGGAUAAUAUUUUCUUCUGUUUGUUUAUAAGAUUCUCUAAUUCUUUUUUAUGGUUGGAUAAGUUGUUUCAGUAACAUGUACAGAUUGGAUUUCCCCAUGGAUUCUCAAUGGAUUUUCUUAUACUUUACAUAUUUCAUCCUGCAGAUACUCAUAUUUCUGUAGUUUUGUCAUGAGUUUGACUAUUUGGUUCUUGGUCGUUAUUGUUAGUUGUCGAUUUCAUUGGGUUUGGUAUUUCUUCUUUUUUGUUUGUUUGCUCUUUUUCUCUAGAUAUUUUCCUACUAUGAAGUCGUUUCUCUGGAGUCUAUCUCAGGUCCUGACUCCUUCUUCUAUGUAUAGGUUUCUCUUGGUUUCUAUCAGGGAUUCAUGUUAUGUUUUCUUUUCUUCCCUCUGUUACCUAUAUAAGUAUUCAGUGUCUUUUCACUAUCUCCAUCUUAUCUCGUUUUGGUUCUUAUCUAAUAUCCCUUCUUGUGUCUGUGUUGGUACUCUUUCUUCUUCAUUUAUAUGCCUAGAUCUCUCUCAUGUCAUUUAGUUUUGUCUGUCAUGGAUUCCAGAUUUAUGGUAAGGUUUUCUCUUUCCUCUCUUCUUUUAUUCUUUGGUUCAUUUUGCUUUAUUCUUGUUUUGAUUUAUGACACCCCUUUGCACCAUUUGUGAUAAAAGGGGGAGAUUUAUGACUCUAAUACUAACAUUCGUUUCUUCCUUUGUUAGUGUAUUCUUGGGUCAUGUUUCAGGUAUACUACAUGUAUGGGGGAGUGAAAGUGAUAAUGACCACAAAGUGCAUGUACAGUUUUGGGUAAGCUCGAGUAUUAAACCUUGGAGCUCAUGAAGUAUGGGGGAGUUGUUCGAGGAACUUCCGUUGGCUCUUUGAUUGUUUCAGAAUUUCUUGUUGCUUCCGUUCGGUCUCUGAUGGUUAAAGCGUCUUACUCAAGAUGGAUAUCAUGUGCUGGUGACUCGGUAUGUAUUCUACUAUGAGUGUUUUUAUAGGCAUGUUUUAUAAAUGCCAUGGUUUGGGUUUGUAUGCACGUUUCAUAAGUGCUACUAGAGUCAUAGGUUUUUGUCACAAAAUCAAUGUCAAAGGGGGAGAUUGAAACCGACACUCUGUUAUUUGACAUUAAUUUUGUGACAUUGAUUGUCUCGGUUAUCUCGCCUUGAGUUCAUUGUUAGGAAAACCAAGUUGUACGCGCAUCGUCCCGAGUCUGUGUCCUCGCGUCCUUUUGUCAAAAGUAAGUUUUUAGGUUUAGGACGUACGUACCUAGUUAGGGCGUACGUACGUCAUGUUAGGCAGCAAACAUGUUUUGGUCAGGACGUACGUACCUAGUUAGGACGUACGUACCUAGUUAGGACGUACGUACGUCCAAGCAAGCUGCGAACUAUUUCCGUGUGGGGACGUAUGUACGCUGUUUCAACGUACGUACGUCCAAUGUAAAAUCUGCAAAGUCCGGCCUAUUUUCUAUGUUUCCAAACCCUAACUAUAUAUAGGGUUUCUCUACCCAAUGAACAAACUAGUUCGUUGGCCGUCCAAUUCAUCUUUAGUCUUGGAGUUUGUUUAGGUUUUGGUUUAGGUUGUUUUGGUGAUUGAACUCAUCUUCUUCUUCCCCAUUCAUCUUCUUCUUCAUUAUUGAAUAGUGAUUUAGCUUUGAGUCUUCUUGUGUGUUCAUCAAGAAUUCGAGUAUCCUUGUGUGUUCAUCAAGGAACUCUGGUGUAAGCUUGUUACAUAGAUCGGCUUUGAGUCUUCUUGUGUGUUCAUCAAGAAGUCGAGUGUCUUGUGCGUACAUCAAGGUGCUCUGGUGAAGUCAAGGUGUUAGGGAUAACCGGUAGUGUCAACUCGCAGUGAUUGCAGGUAGUUGAUAAGUUUGUACAUCUCUUUUCAUCUAGUGGAUUUAUUUGUUGUCGCAAGGACAACCGUGGACGUUUCCUAUAUUGGGUUUUACCACGUUAAAAAUAUUGUGUGUUCUUUAUUUGUUUGUCGUUUCAUUAUUUGCCUUAUUAUUGUUAUAUUGCACAUAUAUUGGGUUUUCAGAAUCCACAUACCCUUUGACAUGAAAAGUGUUCACAAACCCUUUGAUAUGACAAACAUCUUCAACAAAGACCAAACCCACAUCCAAGGUACCCUUCAAGUAUCUCAAAAUCCAUUUCACAGCCUCCCAAUGUUAAGAACCCGGAUUAGCCAUGAAACGACUAACCACACUCACGGCUUGUGCAAUGUCUGGGUGAUUGCACACCAUAGCAUACAUGAAAGAACCAACCGCGCUAGCAUAAGGAACUUUGGCCAUGUACACCCUUUCUUUUAUGGUAGUAGGGGAGAGUUUAGCCGAAGCUUGAAGUGAUUACCUAAUGGAGUAGAGACCGACGUUGCAUCCUUCAUGUUGAAACGAGCAAUGACCUUCUCAAUAUAAGAUCUCUGAGAUAAACAAAGUCGAUGUUGCUUCCUCUUCCUCUUAAUCUCCAUACCCAAAAUCUUUUGAGCUCCACCCAAGUCUUUCAUCUCGAACUCCGAAUUAAGUUGAGAUUUCAACAUUUCUAUCUCCACCAUGCUCUUACAAGCAAUGAGCAUAUCAUCAACAUAGAGCAAAAGAUAGAUAUAGUCACCACCACGAAGUUUACGAAAGUAAACACAACAAUCAUACUCACUUCGGGUAUAGUCAUGUUCUCUCAUGAAAGCAUCAAACCAUUUGUACCAUUGUCGAUGUGAUUGCUUCAACCCUUACAAAGAUUUCGUGAGCUUACAUACAUGAUCUUCCUUAUCGACAACUUUAAAACCCUCCGGUUGUCGCAUAUAAAUUUCUUUUUCCAAGUUACCAUGCAAGAAUGUAGUUUUCACAUCAAGUUGCUCUAGCUCAAGAUCAUAAUGAGCUACCAAACUCAACAAUACACGAAUAGAAGUAUGUCUUAAUUACCACCGGUGAAAAAAUCUCAUUGUAAUUAACUCCUUCCUCUUUUGUAAACCCCUUUGCCACUAACCUUGCCUUGUACUUCAUGUCACUGGAUUCAUGAGGAGUAUCCUUCUUCUUGUAAACCCACUUGCAACCAACAGUUUUCUUGCCCUUAUGCAAUGGAACUAAAUCCCAUGUGUCAUUCUUGGAGAGAGACUCCAUCUCUUCUUGCAUUGCAAUAAAUCAUUUCUCACUACUAGAGCGAUUCACGGCAUGCUUAUAUGAAAUAGGCUCAUCAUCUUCCAUGGAUAAGGCAUAUCCUACCACAUUAGCUUUAUCAUGUUUCAAUGGUUCUUCAGGUCCAUACUUGUAGACUUCUUUAACCUCUCUCUUUGUCCUAGUGGAAGCCAAAGAUUCUUGUUGCACGAGUUCUUGUACUUGAACUUCCUCCUCUUGUUAAUCCUCUUGUGGUUUUACACAUUCAUCAAAAUCAUAAUGAGCCACCACAUUUUUCCUUGUUGCAACAUCAUGCAACCCAAUCUCAAUGUGUUGAGAUUAACUAGAUUCACCAGAUUCACCAUCAUCUCUUAAAGCUUUCUCCUUGCUAGAAACCAACAUAGAAGAUUCCCUUCCGAAAGAAUAUGGCUUUCUUGGCUCUUGGAUGUAGCUUCCCUUCCGAAACAUGGUAGUAAGCUUUACACCCAAAUGUACGUAAAGAACUAUAAUCAGCUGGUUGUCAACAUCUCAUAAGGUGUCUUGCAAUCUAAAGCUGCAUGUGGUGAUCUAUUUACCAUGUAACGGGCCAUGGAGAUAGCCUCGGCCCACCAUUCCUUGCCUAUACCGGCAUUAGAUAUCAUACACCUUGCUUUCUCAAGAAGAGUUCUAUUCAACUUUUCUGCUAACCCAUUUCGUUGCGGCGCCUUUUUCACGGACCAAUGUCUAAUAAUACCUUCUCGAGAACAAAACUCUUUGACAAGGAUGAUAAGUGUACUCGGUACCAUUAUAGGAUCUCAAUGUCUUCACCUUUCUUCUAUCUGGUUCUUUUCUCAACCAUUGCUAGCUAUUUCUUAAAUGUCUCAAACACUUCAUCCUUGGAUUUCAGAAAAUACGUUAUACCCAAACAUAUAUCGGCUAUAAUUAUCAACGAAUGAGACAUAAUAUCGAGAACCUCCUUUAGAAGGAAUUUUACAAGGUCCCCAUACAUUAGAAAGCACUUAAUCAAGGAUACCAUCGGUCUUGUGUUUGCUUGUAGUGAACUUCACUCUACAAUGCUCACAAAAGUCCAUACACGGUUUCUUCAUGUCUUUCAACAACCCUUGCUUACACAAAAUUGACAAUCCCUUUUCACUUAUAUGCCCAAGACGCAGAUAUAUGCCAAAGUCUAGUACAAUUACUUAUAAAACCACUAAGAAUUGCAACAUUAUUGGUCACGGUACUACCCGACAAAGUAUACAAGUUACCAUGUCUAAUACCUUUCAUCACGACCAAAGAACCACGAAAGACUUUUAGAAUUCCACCUUCGCCAACAAACGAGUUGCCAUUUGGUUCUAGGAAGCCAAAAGAAAUAAGAUUUUUCUUGAGAUCGGGAACAUACCUUACUUCGGUUAAGGUCCUCACAACACCACCAUACAUCUUCACAUUGAUUGUGCCGAUUCCAAUUACUUUGCAAGAAUCGUCGUUUCCCAUCAAGACGAUACCUCCAUCAAUCCUCUUAUAGGUAGCAAACCACUCAUUCUUUAUACACAUAUAGUAGGAACAUGCGGAGUCAAGAAUCCAUCUAUUUGACAUAUCACUAUCUUGAGAUGACCCAAAGAAACACACAUCAUCAACCUCGGAUUCCGAAGCAUCUUGCUUUCUCCUUAGCAUUCUCUUUCUUCUUGAACUUCUUCUUGUUUUUUUCUUAAGUUCUUUACAAUAAUUAGCAUAAUGACCUCUCUCGUUGCAAUUGAAGCAUUUUACUUUCUCUAAGGGCAUCCUGGACAUGGAUUUAGAUCUUCUUUUACUUGUAGAUGUCAUCUCAUUUGACCGUCCUCUAACUGUCAAGCCUUGAGCUUGAUCUCCACCACUUUCCAUAUCUGUGGCGUGCUUGCGAGUGUCACUAGACAAGAGAGUCGCACAUACCUCUUCAUAAGUGACCACGUCCUUCCCAUAUAACAUGGUUUGGAUUAAACCCUCAUAUGAAUUAGGUAACGAGAACAUGAGAAUAUAGCUUAGUUGCUCAUCAUCUAUCUUGAGGUCUACAUCAUUUAAAUCUGACCUUAUACGAUUGAACUUCACAAUGUGAUCCCUCAUUGAAGUUCCCGCUUCCAUCUUCACGGUGUAGAGUUGCUUCAUAACAAGCAUCUUGUUCAUAAGAUUCUUUGUCAUGUACAAAGUCUCAAACUUUAACCACAAACCCGCGACGGUAGUUUCAUCUUUGACAUUAUAAACAACUUCUCUACCAAACAAAGACAUAUUGAAGGUACUGCUUCAAGACCCAUCUCAUUGAAAUCAUCUACACUCAUUGUGAUGUAGGACAGAACACAUACUCCAAUUGGUUUUCUAUUUGGGUUUAUGAUUUGUUUCAUCUGAGUUUGCCAAACCCCAAAAUCCUUCUUCCCAUUGAAUUUCCCAAUCUCAUACUUCCCCACAUUUGGAAUACUACCUUUACGAUCCAUUCUAGCAAUUACCAAACCCAAAAUCUCUUUCAGGAAAUUCUUCAAACACCUUAUCUUCAAUAACUCUCAAACACUUUAGAACAAACUUGAAUCGCCAAGAUUGAGCCAAAGCUCCUGAUACCAAAUUGUUAGGAAUAACGCCAAUGAUGCAGAAGCGAUUUGUUCACAACGUGAUCUACACCAGUAAAGGUGUAACCUUUAUCAAAGACAAUACCUUGAAGUAACUAGAAUAUCAAUCAACCAAGUAGACAAUCACAAAUAACUAGAAAGUAAUUAAGAUAACGAAAUCAAACAUCCAUAACACAAGAUAUACGUGGUUUGACGUAAGCCUACGUCUACGGGCAAGAUAAAGAUGGUUUCACUAUGAAGUAGAAAAUAUGUGAUACAAAGAAUGGACUCUUUCACCUCACACACACAAGUUCUCUCAGGUGAUUCCUGUAAAUCUCUCAAGAACAAGUUCUUUUUCUUUUCUCUCAUCUCAAUCUCUUUCUUUUUCUCUCGUCAUGAAUUUGGAAGUCAUACAACUCAACUUUUAAGGUUUUCUACACUCUCUAGGGUUUAUAUAGUAGCCAUACAUGGUUUUUUAGGUUUACCACGUUAUUGGCCUAGAUUGGGCCGAUAAGAACUUCACCAUAUACAAGUGUAUCAGAAACUCCAGUAGCUAUGGACAUGACAAAACAUGUGUCCAGCGGCUAUGGACAUGACAAUUCCAUACUUGGCCAAAUUUCCCGAAAUCUCCGGUGGCUAUGCAUCUUGCAAAAAUCUGUCAGAAUAUUGGAGCCGUUUUUCUGCCAUAAUAAUUACUUCCAAAGGACGUGAUCGACAUUCUGAUCAUUGAGCAGAAAGUUAUGGUCAUUCCAAUACAACCGUCCAACUCUAGCGGCUAUGCAUCCUGCAAAAUAUUGUCAGAACUUUGGAAAGCUGAGAAAGUCCUUUUUUCUAACUCAGAAAACAGAUCAACAUUCUGAUCACUGAGCUUAUGGCCAAUCCAAUACAAACUGUCGAAAUGAAGAUACGAAAAAACGGAACAACAGAACAUCCACUUUAGAAUUAACAGGGAAUGUACUACUCUAUUGUUGCCUUGCUGCAUUGUUGUACCAGAAAGGAAUAGCACUACACCAGGGGUCAUGCCAUAAGAGGGUUUCUUUUCCAUCAGCUAUCUCAUAUGUAAUGAAGUUGGGAGCCUGUUCUAUAGCUUUGAGAACACACCUACAUAUCCAUGAGCAAUCAUUGGGGAUCUUCAUAGUCCAGAAAAACUUGGACCUGAGAUGCUUCAGCCAAGUCCAUUGCACCCACAAACUGUUGCCUUUAGAAGCAACCUUAAAACAAGUCCAAGGUAAGCAGCUUGGUUCCAUAUUUUCAUAUUAGAAAUGCCAAUUCCACCUUCCUCCUUCCUCAAGCAAAUAGUUGCCAAGCUAGCCUGGUGCAUUUUCUUACCAAUGGAGGAGCAAUUUCAUAAGGAAAUGGCGCAUUUUUAGCAAUAGUAUCCAACUUUGUGAUAGGGAGAAUAAAAGUUUGAGACCAGUACACAUGUAAAGAUGUAAGGACUGAUUGUAUGAGCUGCAACCUGCCUGCAAAUGAUAUAUAUUUAAUUUUCCAAUUAUAAUUUUUUUGAAGUGUUGUAUCAAUCAGGGGUUGACAGUCCUUAAUGCCAAGUCUAGAAGCUGUCAGUGGCACUCCAAGAUAGGUGACAGGUGGUCUUACAUGCUGAACUUGAAGAAGGUCAGCAAAUUCUUGCUAUCAGCUUCCAUCAAUCCACCACACAGUAAGGACGUUUUGUUGUUGCUCAGUCCUAGCCCUGUGAUCAUAGUGAAAGAGUAAACCUCUUUAAUAGCUAGCAAAGAGCCUUCUUCCCCUUUACUAAAGAUCAGCACAUCAUCUGUAAAACAAAGAUGAGUCAGCAAAUUUCUUUUACAUUUAGGGUGCCAUUUUAGGGUCUUACUCUCAACCGUCCGGAGACCUCUCUUCCCUUCAAAUAAACCUUCUGCACCUCCAUUAAUAAGGAUAGAGUAGUAUGGUGAUGUCACACACAACUUUAUCCAUCUGAUCAUUCUAGCGGGAAUUUUAAUUUUCUUCAGCAUCUCAAAAAGAGCAUUCCACCCUACCAUAUCAUAGGCUUUCUUGAGGUCAACUUUGAGUGAACACCUAUUGUAGUUCACUCAAAAGCUCAUGUGAAAGUAGUAAGUUGUCUUGAAUUGAUCUUCCAGGAAUGAAUGCAGUCUAAUUAGGAUGAACACAAUUCUCUAUCACAUACUUCAUCCUAUUAGUAAUAGUCUUGGAAAUGCAUUUGUAAAUUGUAUUGCAGGACUGGAUCGGUCUAUACUCUUCCACUUUAGUAGGACUCUUAACUUUUGGUAUCAAACAUAAAAUGUAGCAUCAACCCCUCUUGGCAUACAAUUCUUCUGAAAAACAUUUUUAUUAGCACAAGUAGACUCUACUCCCACAAUGCUCCAACAUAUCUUGAAAAAGAAUGCAUUGAAGACAUCAGGACCAGAACUUUUAUUAUCUCCCAUAUCAAACAAGGCUGUAAGUUUGUCCAUCAGCUUACACCAUGAAGUCUGUCAAGACUGGAUGCUUACCUAGUUCUUCCUUCGGUAUCCUAGAAAACACACCGGUGUUGAUGCCAGCGUUAGCACUCCAACACUCAAGUUAGUAUCGAGUGAGGAAGAGAAGAAAACCUAAUGUAAUAGUGUAGAAUAAGAGAAAAAAAACAUACCUUAACCUUAGGGUUUUUACCUAUUUAUAGAGUGUACUCUGACUAUUGUUAUGUCCAUCGGAUCUUAUCUUAAUCCAACGGUUCUUUCCCUAUUACGUGUAAGCUCCCUUGCCUUACAUUAUAUCUUAGUUGUAUUCCAUGACGGAUCACGUGUUCACCAUGUGAUCCAUACAUUCUGUCUCUUCUGGUUUAUCUGGUGCGGCUGAUCUUAAGUUCUUCUAUGCGGCUCUUGGCAAAGUGACUAACACGUGUAAGCAGGCAUAAUAACGCACUUACAUCGCCAAGAUAAUUAUCUCUUCAAUCUGCCCGUUUGUGUCGUUGAAUUUCCUGCCUAAUUGUUAAUUUUAAAUUUAAUAACAUUAAUUAAUCACGUGAUGAGGUCCACAUGUCAAUUCCUCAUUGAUUGUUCACCCGUGAUUGCUGUUUUUAGAAGAGUAAUUAUAACCAUAGUUCAAGAUGCCGAAUCCGGGCGAAAUUUCGAGGUCCUAAAAACUGGCAUAUGCUCAAAAUUUCGACUAUCAUAAUCGGUGAAGUCUUGGUCCGCUCGACUAGAUGAUGCUCCCUUUCUAGAUGAAGAAAGAUGCUCCCUACGUGAUGCUUCAAUAGCCAUCUGCAAGUCUCGCCGCUAUAAGUAAUCAGGGUCCUGUAUCGAACGCCUCAAUGCUUCCUCCAAGUCUCGUUGCGCUCUAGUCUCGUCGCCCUCGUCCUGAGUCUCGAUCUGGUGUGAAUAAGCACCACUAGUCACGGGCUCUCGUUGUCCCACCUCUUGCUCCUGUCGUCCCACCUCCUCAACUCGUCGUCGUGAUCUUCCUCGUCUUGUGUGCCCAGAAGCAACUCGUCGUGCAACAAGUUCUUGUAAAUUACGUUGAACACGUAAUGUGACAUCAGGAAGUACCUUUGUGCAUCUUGUAACAUCAUUCCCAACCCCAGCUAGGUGUUCCUUGAACCUUGUCACCCCUCCACCUCGCAUUUUCUUCUCACAAAAACCACAAACAAUUCAAGUCUCAUCACGUGGCUCAACAAACCCGUACUCCCACCCAAUGUCCCUCUUAGCCAUUGUAGUUCUAGACUCCUACCAAUAUAAAAAUUUAUACAAGUAUAAAUGUAAGACAACAUUUGUUAUACAAGAUUAAUUGUGGCAGUAUAACAAAUACAAAGAUUUAAAUUUCUUAUAUGAUAUGAAAUUUUUUUUUUUAACAAAUUCCAUAAUUUUAAAUCAUCAACAAUUCAGCAAUUAAAAUCAACAAUUAAAAAUUUUAAUUUAAAAUCUUUUAACAAUUUCGGCUGCAACAAUUUCUGGCAGCAACCAUCCCGGCCGGAAUUUGAAAUUCAAAUUUCAGAAAAGAUAUAUAUAUAUAUAUAUAUAUAUAUAUAGAGAGAGAGAGAGAGAGAGAGAGUUGGCGGAAAUUAAGAUGAAAAUCGUCGAAAUUUAGGCCUCAAAUUGCUCCACCAUUGCUGUAAAAAAGGAUAUCCGUGAAUUCCGGUUAAACUUCGGAUAUCCGAGUUUAUUCCGAUAUAUCGGGCGAAAUUGAUACGAUUCUGGAUCGAAUCAGAUUCGACCUGCCGAUCCAAUCCGAAUGCCCAAAAAUCGGCAUAUUCCGCCGAAAUUUCGCGGAUCUUUUCAGAAUUUUCAAGUAUGAUUAUAACUAUCACUAUCUCUGCUUACGUCAGCUGCUUGGGUAUUCUGACCCCUCACGUCGGUUCUUAUUUUCUCAGUUUCCUAUAUAAGGUGAUAUGUAACAUGAUUCUUCAGUUUACAAAACCUUACUUUCUUCGUUCCUCUGUAAGUUUCUGCUUUGGAAUAAAGUGCUCAAGAUUUCAAGCUUUGCGAACGACGCUUUUUGCUGGUUUUCUACUCGAAUUGUUCCUAGUAAGUUCCUUUCUUCUAAUUUACGUCUAUUCCUUCAUUCGAAUUGUUGGUUUCCCUGUAUGUUAGAUAUUAGAGUGUAUUUUUCUAGAGCUCUUUGGUAUUUUCUGUUGUUUCUAGCGUAAGGUUUAUGGAAUGGGAUUUGCAUGUUGUUCCUUGUGUAUUUCUUGAAUUACCCAAUUUCUCGUUCUCCCUUCUGUUUUGGACUUAGUAUCUGUAACGACCCGCACGCACCAUGGGGGCAUUUUAGUAAUCUCACCCAUAAUCUACGGCUAUGAUUAAACUUACUAUAACUUGAAUUGAUUGGCCUUAAAAAAAAUAGUGUGAUUAAUUAGAAGAGUAUAGAAUUAAAAAAUAAAUAAGUAAUGAAAACCUAAAACGCAUUUUAAAAAUCGUUGGAGCUGACAGUUUAUUACUAGAACCGAAUUAUUGGUUUUAGGUAGAAAUGCCCGAUAAAACAAGUAUAAAUGGACUUGUUAAAAAUGGACGAAUUUGGCUUGUUAUUAGGGAUAAUUUAUUUAAUUGUGUUAUUAGGCCAUAUAUAUAUCAUUGUAACCAAGGUCCAAAGUAUUGACCAGAUGGAUAACUACAGAACUAUAGCAUGAGCUUAAGAUUUUUAAGUUGAUAACUAUGAAUGUUAAGCCAACACCUCCUACUUACCAUAGCAUGAGGUGGCUGCCCAGAUUUUUUUUAAUGUGUUUGAAGGGCUAGAAACAAACAGUUCAGAAACCAAGCUAUAACUCUUGUUUAACGUGUAGAACAACUCUUAUUACCAAUUUCAUUCUCUUCCAUGGCCAUUGUAAUUCCAAACUACUGUGUUGCUUAAUGGAAAAGCAAGGCUAGCUAAAGUGUAAUUGAUUACUCUUGAGUGUGCUCUUGGUUAUGAAAAUCCCUGAUUGAACACACUAAUUGUGUGGGGUUUAUGUAGGACUUAGAGGUGGUGAAUUUAAGAAGACUUGUCUGAAAUUUGGUGGAGAUAAUAUGGAAGUUAAAUCCUAAGUUAUUUUCACCAUCGUCUCCAUAUCUAAAUCAAGAUGGCGGAAGUGCGAAACUGUCAUCAAGGCUUACAAAACAUGAUUUGAUCUAUGGAAGCUUAUGUUUGAGGCAUCCAUGGUACUGUACAACCCCACUUGAGAGAUAUUUGCUUAGGUAAUCAUGUGAGAAAGAAAUCCAUAGACUUACAUAGAGUUAUCUUUCAAGCUUUAUAAGUCAAUAAGUCCAAUUGAGUUUCGAAGAGAAAAACUAACAAGGGGAGAAUCAGGUGGCGGGUAUCGAUCAUGGUGGCAUGAUUUAAUAGUACAUAUGGACUUCCAGAUGUUGUUAUGGCGGUAAUAAUCUGGUAUACAAGUUUAAGAUCUGCAGGAGGGUGGUCUUUUCUGUCCGUAAUGGAACUAAGUGAAGGAAAAUAGCAACAAGUCUUACGUAUAAUGUGCAACUUUCUGUGCCGCUGUUUAUUCAACGAGUCUAGCUUAUUUAAAAGACCUUAAUCUGAGUUUAGUGUGUGAUUUAGAAGGUUUUAAUUUCGAAAAAAGGUUUUAUCUGACCAAGAUGGAUGUCUUGGGAACUCGUCGAUUAUUUUCAGAUCACUAUUUCCACCUGUUUAUAUAAGGUAACUUACAUAAUUUGAUUAUGGACAAUCGAAUAUGGGCUUUUUAUGGACCACUGAGAUACCUAGGUAAAUAGACUUAGAAAUUUAGUUAUAUUUAUACUAUAGAUAUUUCGUAAUUUCGUGUACACUUAUAGUUGUACAAAUGUGAUGAUUAGAAGAUGGGCACCUUGACUACAAUGUAUUUUUGGAUUCAAAGAAAGUAAUCGAAGCGAGCAUGAGGUAGGGACUUAUAUUUCUUUUAUACUGUCCUUUCAUGUGUCAUAUUUUAAAAGUUGGAAAUUAAUUGAUAUAUUAUUUAUUGAUGAUAAAAUGUAUGCAUGGUUUUGUUUGGUAUAUAGAUUUUUUUUUUUUUUUUUUUUUUGGAUUGGCAAGCGAGGUUGAGGGGAUCCCUACCCCUUUUUAAAUUACAUGUCGAAACUUAUAUCAACAAUUCGCUGUUGACGUGUUUCGAACCCACGACCUCUUCACUUUGUGAGAGGGGUGCUACCAUUGAGCCACAGGCUCAUUCACAAAAAAUGUUGUGGUAAGCCUGUUUUUAAUGAGAUCAAUAACUCGGUAAUGCUGGCAGGAUUUGAACCCCAAACCUCUGGUAUCAUCACCCAAAGGUUUUACCAGUUGAGCCCAACUGACACCUGCAAAAAAAAAAAAAAAAAAUGGUUUGGUAAGCCUGUUUUUAAUGAGAUCUGUAACUCAGUGAUGCUGGCGGGAUUCGAACCUCUAGUAUCAUCAUCCAAAAAUUUUACCAGUUGAGCCCAACUGACACCUAUAAAAUGGUGUGGUAAGCCUGUUUUUAAUGAGAUCAGUAACUCGGUAAUGCUAGCGGGAUUCGAACCCCAGACCUCUGGUAUCAUCACCCAAAGGUUUUACCAAUUGAGCCCAACUGGCACCUGGAAAAAAAUGGAUUGGUAAGCCUGUUUUUAAUGAGAUCAGUAACUCGGUAGUGCUGGCAGGAUUCAAACCCCAGACCUCUGGUAUCAUCACCCAGAGGUUUUACCAGUUAAGCCCAACUGGCACCUGCAAAAAAAAAAAAUGUUGUGGUAAGCCUGUUUUUAAUGAGAUCAGUAACUCGGUAAUGCUGGCGGGAUUCGAACCCCAGACCUCUAGUAUCAUCACCCAAAGGUUUUACCAGUUGAGCCCAACUGGCACCUCUCGUGGUUUAUCGAUUAUAUCUUCUAUUAAUAUGAUUAGUUACAGAUAUUAUGUUUUAUACUGGAGUUAUUAAAGCAGUAUAUGUAUAUUGAAAUGGUUUUAUAAAUGGAAAAGCAAAUGAAGUUUUUAUUGCAUCUUUUUUUCACAAAAGGAAAAGGGGGAUGGAUUUUGUAUGUGAGAUGUGAGAUCCCAGUUGUAUGUUCGUAUGGUGUGAGGUUCCUGAAUUGGGAAUAUGAUCUGGGUGCUUACACGAACAUAUUAUUACAGAUUGGAUUAUAAUCCCUUCGGCUAGUGUCGUGAAUAGGGAACUGGUUUGAUGGUUGAUAAAUUCAGAGAGUCGUCAUACAUGCUAGAUUAAUUAAUUAUUAUUAAAAUACACUUAUAUAUUAUAUAUAUUGUAUCACGAGGCGGUCUGGCAAGGGAUCUGUGAAUUCCUACAAUAAGGAAUUGUUGUCAUAUUCCGGAAACGACAGUUCUUUCUAGGAUUACAUACGCGUUGUUCACCUUUAGUGAAAUGAAUGAGAACGUUCUAGAGGCGAACAGUGUUGGAUGUUUCCAAGAAUUCCUCUUCUACCUUCCUGGAUUACCAUGCUUUUAGUGGUACGUUGUUGGGGCUUAGUGUGGUGUGAGGAUACAUGUUACCUCGAGGAGGUUUAGACGCGAAAGGUGAGAGUUAGUCCACUCCUGGACGUGUGUCAGCAUCCUGUGCAGUCUACAGUCGUCGAACGGUUGACCACCGUAAGUUAGGGAUUCCUCGUAUCAGGAGGCGUGGUCAAAGGGCCCAUAUGAGCUCUAAAAGAGGGUUAGUGUCUUCGGACACAAAAACGGUAAUCACUACCCGACCGGAUAAUCAGGAAAAUAACGGUGCAAGUUCACACUGGAAAGUACUGAACCAAGAUGAUUUGCCUGGGGCUGGGACUGAGUUCUAGUCGUAAUCUCACCACUCUAAUAUGAUGCAGCUACCCGACUCAUUGUAUGGAUGGAUGGUUAGUAUGAUUAGUAUAAAAGGUAAAAGGUUUGGUUUAAAAGUACUUAUUUAUCAAAUUAUUUACAGAUUUUAUUACUACAGUUCAAACCUGCAUUAUUUCAACUGUUUCGUAUGGUUAAUCGUCAUGCAUGAUUAGAUAGUAUUUUGGAAAUGUGACUCACUACUGAGCAAGUGGAAAUGCUCACCCUAUCAUUAAUCCUUUUUCAAUUAAACAAUUGCUCGAGGAUAGAUUGAUAAGCGAAGAUCCACCACAGCGUAUGUCUUCACUUAUGGUGGAGGACCGGUUAGUUAGAGAUCAAUGCUCCAAACGGUUACUGCUUUAUCUACUACUGAGGUGGAGUAUAUGCGGUAACAGAAUCUUACAAGGAAGCUAUUUGGCUGAAGGGAUUAGUAAGCACAUUCGGGUUAGAUCAAAGUUCUAUUUGCCUUGCGAAGAAUCGAAUAUUUCAUGCAACAACGAAACAUAUUGAUAUUCUCUAUCAUCGGAUUCGGGAUUGAUUGGAUUCGGGUGAAAUUACGGUUGAGAAGGUUCACACGAAUGAGAAUGCUUCAGAUUGUCUUACUAAGCCGGUUUGAGUUGAGAAGUUCAGACAUUGUUUGAACUUGCUCAAUCUUUCUCCAUGCUAAAGAUUGGGUGGAGCACCUCCUCACUUAAGGUGGCAUUGAAACAUAGAGAUAGAUAGCUAGAGUAACUGAGGGAGAACUUUGACAGCCAAGGGUGUAUUGGGUUUAAGGUGAGAGAUUAAGAUCUUGAGAAAGAUACUAUAGAGAUUAUUGUAAUCGGUGUUUCUUAUUUUAUAAUGAAAUCUUCUCAUUGUUCCCCGUGGAGGUAAACUUUGUCGAACCACGCAUAUCUUGGUGUUAUUGUUCUUUAUUGUUUUAUUCUUCUUAUACUAUUGUUUAUUGUUGUUGGUAAUAGGGGCGGAUCCAGGAGGGCUCUGGGGGCUUAAGCCCCCGCUAAGUUUGAGAUUUUUAUAAUUUUUUUUUUAUAUGUGUAUAUUUGCAAGCAAAGAGUCGAACACAAUUAAAACCCUUGUUAACACUUUCUACAUAAAUCACCUACAAAUACAGAAAUUAGAGUAGUGGGAGAUAGAAAUCACCUACCCUAAUCCCUAAUUCCCACAAAUUUCUGAUUCUCUUUUGGUGUAAACUCCCGUUUUUUCAAUCAGGUUUUUUUUCUUCUAUUGAUGGAAUAAACGUUUAAAUUACAGUAGAAAAAAGAAUUCCGUUUAUUUAAUUUGGAGUUUUGAAGUUUGGAAGCAGUCUUGUGAUCAAAAUCAAAUCGUUUAUGCAAGUAUAUUUUCUUGAAGUGGCUUAUUUUAUUCUCUUUUUGCUAAUAUAUUCUAUUGCAAAUAUAAUAGUAAAAUACUAAUGGAUUGAUAUAGUUCAAAGGAUAGUUUAAUUAUUUUGUUUACUCAAUAUUGAUAUAUUGUUUUUACUAGGUUUUAUUAAAUUACUAUUAUUAACGUAAAUUUAAUUUGUUAGACACUAAUAUGCAUUUUGCUGAAACUUAAAAAAAAAACUAAUUAUUUAAUUUUACUCAUAAUUGUUCUUCUUUCAUUGUGCUAUUUACUUUUGCAACUAAUUGACAUGUAACCUUUCAUAGCAUGUAUACUAAUUUUUAAGUUGUUGAUCAGGUGAAUAUGUUAUUGAUAUUGUAUAAGAAAAUAAUUAGUAUUUGUUUAUGUGAAUUUAAUGCGAUUAAAACAUUCUGUUAAAAAAAUUCUUAGUAAUUUUAAGCCCCCGUUAUCUAUAAUUCCUGGAUCCGCCGCUGGUUGGUAAUUAAUCUUUGACAUCAUUGACAAAUGGAUCCUGUAUUGCAAAGGAUGUGUUCUCACGAACAUCUAGAUUGCGGGUUGUUGGCGUUGUUAGGAUUUAAUUAAUCACUGCAUAUAGUUCAACGAGGGGAAUAAUGUACAAGGACAAGCAGCAUGGAAGAAGAAAUCACAUACACUUCAACAUACAUAGUACCUGUUGUAAUUAACGACAAUGCUAAUGCAACAAGUGACAAUGGUAUGGUUAUCAUAAGCUGCAAGGCCAUAAAUUUCAGAUCUUAGUUGUUAUAUAAUUUGGAUCCUUAUUACUCCCUCUGUCCCAAAUUAUAAGUACCUUUUGGAAUAUUCUACUUAUUAAGGGAACAUCAUUUAUUGUUUUGUCUACUAACUAUAUUUCCAAAUUUAUCCUUAUUUAAUGGGUUCCACUUAUAUUAAACAUAGUCUCUACUUAUUUUUAUUAGAAUAUUUACUCUAAUUCCAAAACAAGAGUAGUAUAGGUAAAAGAACAAUUUAACUUUAUUAAUAUAUAUUCAAAUAUGAAAAGGGACAUAUAUUUUGGGACAACUAAAAAUGGAAUUUGGGAUGGAGGGAGUACGGGAUUUGGAGUGGAAUAAUUCUACAAAAGUAAAGGUGUUAACAUGGAAGGAAUGGCAAGAACUAAACACUUAAGUAGUUUUUUGAAGGUUAAUUUUGAUAGUGUCAUUGUAACUCUUUCGUAAUUUUUUCAUUAUCAAUUUAACCACCGUUGUGCGCAAAAAAAAAAAAAAAAAAAAAUGUUACUCCCUAUCCCAAAUUAUAAGUACAUUAUUGUUUUUUUAGUUGUUUCAAAAUAUAUGUCACUUUCUAAAUUUGAACACAUAUUAAUUAAAUUAACUUACUCUUUAGCCUAUAUUAUCCUUGCUUUUUUGCUUAUAUUACACAUUAAAUAAGUGAAAAAUUUUCAUUGUAAAUUAAAUGAGGGUAAAGUUGAAAAUAUAGCUAACGGAUAAACCUUUAAAUGAUGUUCCUUAAUGAGUUGGAUUUUUUAUAAUGUACUUAGAAUAUGGGACGGAGGGAGUAAUAUAUAUCUUUCUCUUAAACAAAAUUUGAAGAACUUAUCUUUACCUUGUAUUUAUGAGUAUCUCUUAUUGUAAAAUUUCUGAAAUUUGUGGAUAAUACAACAGCAUGAAGCUGAGUACCUGACGACCCCGCUACUGUUAAAGAACUAAAAUAACAAAUCUCAACCUCAAGAUAUAUAUAGCAUGUAAUGGACAAUUUUAUUUGCUAAUAUUUUGAUUAAAUCUAUGGGCACAACAUGUCACACUACUCACUCACUCACGAAUCCAAUCAUACAUCUUUCUGAAGCUACGAUUCCAUUGCGAAGCAUAUAUUCCAUCCCAUUGAGCCCUCCUAACACAACGAUACUGACCAAUACCAUCAUUCAUGCAACUUUUGAAAUGCAUGCGUGGAGUAAACAUAUCCUUGUUUACCCACACCAAGUGAUGAUGAUCAUACCACCAUAUAUGACACCAAAAGAGUGUCCUCGGAGUAUCAUUAAACCUCCAAUCAUAACUUUGGUUAAAAUCAACAUAAUGCUCACCCAAAUCAUUGUCUUUAGAUUUGCAAUGGACUGUCAAUGUAUUAUUUGGGCCAAGUCUAUUCUCGAUGUACACUUUGUUAGAGGUGCCAAACACUGAUGAACAACUCCACAAUGUGGCCACCAUCAUAAGUAUCAAUCCAAUAAAGAUUUUCUUCAUAAUAGCCGUUGGUGUUCUUGAUCUUCACUUCAACUGAGUGAAAUGGUUUUGUUUAUCCCAUAUAAAUAGUUGUAAAUCUUCACAGAUACAUUGAAUCUUUCUAGGCUGGGGAAUCUAUAAAGAUUUCUUUUCUGGAAGUUGUCAAUUAAUGAAAUUACAAUGAAAUCUUAGGCUGGGGAAUCUAUAAAGAUUUCUUUUCUGGAAGUUAUCAAUUAAUGAAAUUACAAUCAAAUCUUGACACUGUAACACUACCAAAAAACAGGAUAUUUGCCACUGCACCUGGUUUUGUUUUUGCCCUAGCCCAUAGCAGUGGCUAAUUUGGGUCUGCCAUGUAUCGUGGGUAAACUUUGUUGGGCCGUGGCAACAAAAUAAUAGAUUUUUUUUUCACUUUUUUUAUUUAUUUUUUCGAUUUUUCUCUCUCAUUCAGCCGUAUGUAAAAAAAAAAAAAAACAAAUCCUCACUCUCUCGAUUCGAUCCUCAAACAGAGAGAGACGAAGAUCUCGAUUGGAUUCUCUUUUCUUAUCGAUCUUUUCUUCUCUAAUUGAUCUUUCGAUCUCUUCUUCAAAUCUUCGAUCAAAUCUUCCUUUUGGUCAACGCUACUCCGAUUCAGUCUAUUCUUCUAAUCUCAAGGCUACUCGGUUUCAAUCUCUUUUUCAAGUAACAGAGAAGAGAAGAACAAAUCGGAGUUUUCAGCUUCACAAUUCUUUCAAUCGCUAUAAAAAAAUCUAAUCGCUUAAGGUAUUCAAUCAAUUUGAUUAUCUAUGUUUUCAAUUUCAAUUUGAUAAUCACUAUUGAUGUUUAUUGCUAUUGAUGUAAAUAUUUGUUGAUUUUGUUGUAUGAGAAGUUUGGAGUAGAGUUUGGGUUUAAGAGCAUUCCCAAUGCAGGGUGGAUUUAUCCACCUCCACAUAGGCGCCACGUAUGCGCCACUAGGAUAAAUCCACCUUGUUGACUCAAGGUGAAACUCUACAAGGUGGAGAGUUCCAAAGGGAAGGUGGACUUAAUGUUAAUAAGGAGUGGAUUUUUUAAAAAAUCCGUACGGCAUGUCACAUGCCUGUCCCAAUUUUUUUGCAAAAAAAUAGGGAGACGGCAUGUGACAUGUCGUCCGAGAGACCAAAAGUUUUAAAACACUACGUAAAACUUAAAAAAAAAAUGGACGGCAUAUGACAUGCCGUCCGAUUGUAAUCUAAAUUAGGACGGCAUGUGACAUGCCGUCCGAUUCUACCACCCACAGGUGGAUUUCAAGGUGGAUUCUCCCACCUUGAAAUCCACCUGUGGAAUCCCACUUUUGAAAAUCCACCUUCCCUUGGGACAUUAUUUUGAGUUUCAAGGUGGAUUUAUCCACCCCACCCCCAAAAUCCACCUUGCAUUGGGAAUGCUCUAAGUGAUUUAAGAAAAGUCAUGGUUUGGGUAUUGCAAAUAAAGUGUUUGUUGAAAUGUCAGAAUAAUCAUUAUCACAGAGUUCUAUAAUAUAUGAGUUUUUUCACUCUAAUAUGUCUGUAGAAUUAUUGCCCAGGGUCAGGAUUAUAUAAUACCAAUGAAUGGACUAUAAACAAGAAUGUGUGUGUGGUGGGGAGGGGGGGUACGAAUUGAAAUCUUGUCAAUUCGAUGUGUCCAUACAAGGCAAUCUCUUGUUUUGCACUUCAUUCUUUUGCAAUAUGAUUUUCGUCAUCAUUUGCUUUCUUUCAAUUUCUUAUUUUUGUGGUAGUGCUCACACCAAACUUAUUUUAUUGUUACUUGAGGAUUUUGUAAACAACUUUAGGCAACCCUACAAAAUCGAUUGCCUUUUUUUUUUCUUUACAAAUAUAAAUGUCUUUAUGCACGAUAUAAUUUGUUAAUUUGCUGAAUAUUCAGCUCAUUGAUGAAUAUUCUAAUAUUGUUCCUUCUAAAUGUAUGACUCUGGACUAAUGAGGUCAAAGUUCAUUUGAAUUUCUUGUUGAUAUCUUCAUUUGCAAUAGUUGGUCUAUGGGUUUUAGAUGAGGCACCUCAUCUUAGUCAUAUGUUCUUAAUAGAAACGAACUAGCUCACGUCUUCAUAUUCUGCAAUAAUUUGAUGGUGUGCUUUUAGCAAUAACUUUCUUGUAAUGUGUCAUGCAAAUUGUGUGUACCCUAGGUAAAAAACCCGACAGGUGUCACCGAUGGCUGUAUAAGAAGCGAAACCGGGAGCACCUGAGCAUUAGCCUUCCAGGCCUGGGCUAUCGGGUAGGGCUCAACCCUGUCUCAAGGAGUGCACAUACGCUCUAUGGACCUUGAUUCGUCGGACAGUUCACGAUCAAUGGGUGGAGCCCCAGUUACUGUAUAAGAAGUUGAACCGUGGGCUCCCAUGCAUCGACCAAGUCCACCUCAGUCAAGUAGGCCAGGUCCGGCUAGUAAAGUCCAGCUGCGACAGGGGCUCAUCCAAAGUCCUAGCAUAGAAGCCCAGAGGACCUGGCCAGGGUGUAUGCAAUGAAGAUUGGGCCUCUAGUCAGAGGAGUCAAGCCCAAGUCUUUGCUUCCGGAUUUGGUCAAAUCCAUGUCCCAACCAACUGGUUAAGUCCAACAAGAUUCCUGGCUAACAAAACACAUUGUUCUAGCCCGCUUGAGAAGUUAAAAGAAGACCCUGGUUGAACUAGGACCUAUCAGAGGAUGCUACGUGGCAGUCAUCCUGGUCAAAGGGGAUUCAUCUUCACAGUUGAACUACCUGAGUUCAUGGAGUCAAAACCGGAGGGGUGGUUGAGUCAGCUUCCUCCGGCCUACUACAAAUACAGGAGUCCCGAACCUCCUGAACUACGAGUCUUUCACUGAGCAACUCCAUUAGAGCUUAUAGUCAUUUUCAUUGUCAACAACGUGAUAUUUUUCUUAUAGAGACAAUUGUACAAGCCCUCACGAAGAAAAACCGGCCUCCUUAUUGAAACCGGCACGAAGUGGUUUGACAUCAAUUUUGUGACAAAGUGUCCUUGGUUAUUUCGCCUUGAGUUCAUUGUUAAGAAAACCGAGUUGUACGCGCGUCGUCCCGUGUCCUUGCCUUCGCGUCGUGUGUCAUUGGUGUGAUUUCUGGUCCAGGACGUACGUACCUCUUAAGGACGUACGUACGUAUCGAAUGACAGCAAGAUUGUUGGUGGUCUGGACGUACGAACCUUUACAGGACGUUCGUACGUCACAGCAGGCAGCAGGAGUAUUUUCGUUUGGAGACGUACGAACGUCAUAUCGACGUACGUACGUCCAAAGUGGGCUUUUACUAUUUCGGCCCAUUUUCGGUGGUUUUCCAACCCUAUGUAUAAAUAGGGUUUCUCUUCCAAAGAACAAGUGAGUUCUUUGGCCGUCCAAUUCACCUCUUGUUUCUUGGAGUUUGUUUAGGUUUUGGUUUAGGUUGUUUUGGUGAUUGAACUCAUCUUCUUCUUCCCCAUUCAUCUUCUUCUUCCUUUUAUUUUCUCCUUCAUUAUUGAAUAGUGAUUUAGCUUCGAGUCUUCUUGUGUGUUCAUCAAGAAGUCGAGUUUCCUUGUGUGUUCAUCAAGGAACUCUGGUGUAAGCUUGUUUCAUAGUUCGGCUUCGAGUCUUCUUGUGUGUUCAUCAAGAAGUCGAGUGUCUUGUGCGUACAUCAAGGUGCUCUGGUGAAGUGAAGGUGUUAGAGAUAACCAGGAGUAUCAACUCGCAGUGAGUGUAGGUAGUUGAUAGGUUUGUACAUCUCUUUUCAUCUAGUGGAUUUAUUUGUUGUCGCGAGGACAACCGUGGACGUUUCCCAUAUUGGGUUUUACCACGUUAAAAAUUUCUGCGUGUUAUUUACUUUCUGCAUAUUGUUUGAUUUGUUUGAAUUGUUAUAUUAGCACUAUUUGUAGUUUCUCAAUUGGUAUCAGUCGCUGGGGGCUGGUUAAGGAGCGUCAAGGCUCACGCUAACGAUCCUAUGAGUGCAAUGAUGGUUCAUGAGUCUGGUCAUAAUAAUUUUAUUGCUAAAUCGUCUAAAUCUACAAAACCAAAAUCUGAUUUUGAAAAGGAUGAUAAUUUGUAUGUUGUUAGCAAUAGUGAUUGGGCUCUUCUUUACAGACUUUCUGCAAAAGAAUGUGAAAGAUUACAAAAAGCUAAUAUUGAUUUGCAGGAAAAAUUUAAUAAAGCUAAUUAUAAUGUGUCUACUAUUUCUGAUAAUGUUUGUUUUGAAGAUAAUGGUGUUUUGCAGACUAAGGUUGAUUCUCUAGAACAACGACUCAGACAUUGUGCAGAGGACUAUAUGCUUCAAGGGGAAGUUUAUGAAUCCAAAAUUGAAAAUUUGGAAAAGGCUAACCUUUCUUUGCAGGAUAAAAUUGAGAUUCUUGAAAAACAGAUUUCUUGUGCUGCAGAUGAUACAAUUUCUAUUUCUCAAUUAUUUGACAAAGAAAAACUAGACUUGUUAUGUAGAAUUGCAGCUUUAGAGAAGGCCAAUCAGGAGGUCGAUGAGAAAUACAAAUCUCUAUUGGUGGAGUGUGAGGUAACAAAGAACGAUUUAACGUCUACUCAACUCCAAUUGCAGGUUUUGGACAAAACUAGAUUUGAUUCUCCUAUUGAUAGUUCUACUAGUUCAUCUAGUGUGAUUACUCCUGUAAAAUCUACUAGUUUGCCUACCCUUUUGCCUACCCCACCUAUUGAGACUAGACUUAAUGCUACUAAUGUUCAGCAUGUUUCUCGUAAGAAUUUUAAGUCUAAGGUUAAUGGUAAGGCUGUUUUUACUGAUAAGCCAUAUUGUUCUCAUAAUGGAGGUAUAGGUUUUGUUAAGGCACCAUGUCACAAAUACAAUGGUGACAUACAUGUUUCAUCUUCUACCACCACAUCUUCUUAUAAGAAUUCUUUGAGUAAGUCUAAUGUUUUUCAUUGUUCUUAUUGUGGUAGAGAUGGUCAUUUGGAUAUCUUUUGUUGGGAUUUUAAUCAACAUGUUAAAUGUUAUUCUCAUGUUCCUUAUAAUUAUAAUCUUGUUGAUUCUUAUGCUCCUUCUUGUGCAUUUUCUAGACCUUGGAAUUAUAAUGGUUCUCAUCACAGGUUUAAGAAAAACAGGUAUUCCAACAAAAAGAAGUAUAAGACUAAGGUGAAAUUGGUUAAGGACAAAUGUAUUGCAAAGCGUGUUAAGGGAAAAUCUCAUAUCAUUUCACCUCCCAAGGUGUGCACGCCUAGUGUUAAACAUGUAUGGGUAAGAAAGGAUAAGUUGAAGGUUUUUCUGGACUUGCAAAGGUCUGGUGGUGUCCCAUAUUUGGGAUGAUGUAGUUUGUUUCUAGCCUUGUGUUAUUUGAAUUGCAUAUUUCUCUAACCACAUAGGCUAUUUGUUUGGUGUUUCUACUUUUUAUGCUUUGUUUGUUUAGCUUGCAGAUCAUGUUGCAUGUCUGAAUACAUUGUUAAUAAAAAAAAAAAAAAAAGGGUUGUUGGUUAUUCCUUCUAUUUUUUGUUUUAUUUAUUUAUUCCAUGUAUGUGUUGUUGGAUGCAUCUUUUCUGAGAUAUUGGUUUAAUUCAAUUGUCUUAAAUAAGUUGCAAUAUGUUUGGGUGUUUUCUCUUUCUGAACUCUUAAGUAUGUUUUGGUAUGUAUCAUGCAUUUUUCCUCGCUUGUUUGCACAGUGCACGACAUGCUUGCAUGAUGGGAGUUUUUGGAAACCACUUACAUAUUCUUUGAGCUCAUAGAACUUCUCUAUCUCUCGAGUAUUUAUGUGAUCUUGAGCUAUCUCUCCUUUGUUUUGGUUAAUGUUCAUCUUGCUGUUCGUGUUAUUGAGCAUUCUUAUCUUCCUAUUACAACUCUUGUUAGUGGUCAAUGACUCACUUUAUCCCCAGCCAUUUGAUUGUCUUUGAAGCAAUAUCAGUUGGCUAAGAACCCGUUGGGGUUGUGAGGGUCAUGCUCUGACGGAUGCACUCAAGAGAUGUUAGUUCUUGUGUUGCACGUUAUCAUGGUAUUGCACUUCUUGAGUUUGUGUUUGUCAAAAAGAUGUAGGCUACACCCUACCCUCGUGUAAUUGAAAAGAUGGAGGCAAAAGCCCCUCCCACAUGCGGCAAAAUGAUAAUCCAAGCGCAUGUUCAUUUUUUAUGUAAGGCAUACAAAGUUUACAUUCCUUUGCCUUUUUUAUGUAAGGCAUACAAAGUUUACAUUCCUUUGCCUUUUGGAUAUCUUGUUUUUUUGUUUGAAAGUUCAUAUUUAUAUUCGUUUGUCUUCUACUCAUAUUGGUUGUUUCAAAGGGGAUUGAAGUUUGUUUCUUCUAAGCUCACUUGCUAAUCGUAUGUCUCUUGUUGAUGGUUAUAUAUUCUAGGUCUUCAAAGGGUGUGUUCUAGUGGUGAACUUUAUCUCUCUUUAUGCAUUGCAUUGCAUCCACACACCGAGGUUUAGUUUAUUAUGCAUUUCAAUUCUCUUAAUUGUUCAAUAUUUUGUUUAUCCCAACAUAUUGCCUCUUAUUUUUGUACGGAUUGGGAUUGGCUACUGUUUUUGGAAGUUCAUGAUGUGUUCCUCUUCACUUCUAUGGUACAUCGGUUAUUUUCCUUUUAUCUUCUUAUUAUGGUUUGUGUUGUUCGUCGGUUUGCUUUCUGGUCUUUAGGUUGUUCUUUCAUUCGUUUAAAAAAAAAAAAAAAAAAAAAAAAGGGGGUCGUACGAACGCUGUCAUGACGUUCGAACGUUGAGGUGGGCAGAUCUUUUUUCCAACGUACGAACGUUAUUAGAACGUACGAACGUAGGGUCUGACAGAUGUUUUUUUUUAGAGUCCCGACGUACGAACGUCUUUAGGACAUACGAACGUCCCUGAUACAGUCCGGCCCAUUUGCUGUUUAAAUUCAAAUUUUGGUUAAACCUUUUGCCCAACUGUUUCAUUCAAAUCGUGCUAUCUCUCUCUUCGCACGAACAAGUGAGGUUCCUUCUUUCAAGGCUCUACACUCUGCUUUCGAAAGGAAACAAAUCUUCUCUCUUUGUAUCUCUCUUAUUUCUCUCUUCCUCUCUUCGUUCUUCUAGCUUGUAUAAGCAAGUCCCUCCCUGCUGUGUUCUAAGUGUUCAAAAGAGUUUUGUGGUGUUUAUCUUCUCACUCUUUCGGCAAUAGUAAGUUCCUCAAUUCUCCUUUUCAUUGCUUGUUAAUGGUUAUUUUUGAUGGAUUUUUUUUUUUGUUGUGAGUGAUUAUUCAUGGGGUAACAGAAUUUGAUUUUUAAAGAUUAAAUUCCUUGGUAUCGCUGGGAUUUUUUUUUACUUGGCACUUCGUUCCUCCUCUAGUCUUAAUCAUCUGCUAUGUUUAGUGUGAAUGUGAUUGUUGGUUUGCUGUUUUACUAUUGGAUUUAGUUUCUGCGCACUAACUGUUUGACAAAAUGUCUACAUGACUGCAAUGGUUAGUUUAUCUUGUUUGGGAUUACAUUUCACUCACACUUUUCGUCUGUUUCCUGUUGUGAUUGUGUAGACGAUGCCUCCAAAGCGCGCACGCACCACUCCCUCCACCAUUGCAUCAUCUUCUCGCGCUCCACGGGGUCGAAGCUCCACUCCGGCCUUGUUGCCUCCUUCCACAUCUCUUGGUGCUCAUCCUCGGGCAAAAGCCAUUGUUCCUGAGCGAUUCUUUGACUUGGCAGACAUCGCUGCUACCCCUCUUGGGACUUCUCAACUUGGCAACAUAUCCCUCUUCUUUGAGACUCGGAAUUGGCUAAGGGUGGCUCAACCAAUCACCAAGUACUCGGUUGAGCAUACGAUAGCCUUCUAUGAGACAAAGACACCCUCGCAAAAUCGAUCGAGUUUUUCGGUCUUGAUUGAAGGUCGGCGAUACACCAUUUCUCCUAAGGUGAUACGCGAGGCGUUGGGUAUUGAUGGUGACUUUAUUCCUGAAGAUGCUGUUUCUGUCAGAUGGCCCGUUCCGGAUACAAUUCAAAUUGACUUUGUCAAUCAGGUUCAGCAGAUGUUUAUUGAUGGUGUCACGGAAAGGUAUCAUGCCAAGCACUACAGCGCCAUCCUCUUGCACAUGGUUGCCCAUUCCAACAUCUACCCCUCCAAGGGUAUAAGAUUAUCAUGACCGAUGACAUGGUCAAAUUGGUGGUCUGUAUGUCGGUGCACCAUCUUCAUCUCUCUGAGGUCAUCUACACUCGAAUGCUUCAGAUCGAUGCAGCUAAGGGUACUCUUCCUUUCCCUAGCUUUAUAAUGACUAUACUCAAGCACUUGGGUUUUCAGGGACAGUAUAUGGGGGUGAGCCCUCCAAAGUUUGUUGGCCACGACUGGGUCAACGCUAUCAAAAAGGGCUGUCAGUCUCGAAAGUUGGCCUUCGAGUCCGUGGGUGCGCGUCUGACGCAUCACCUCAUUUGGGGAGGCAGGGCGCUUGUUCGCAAUGAUGAUUUUGAUCGGGCUUUGACCUCUGGACGCCCCAUCCCAGCCUCUGCUAGGGGAAAUCGGGCUGUUGCAGCCAUUGAUGCUCGGGUUUCCUCUCUCCGACGUCAUCAGGAUCAUAUGGACGCUCGGUUAGAUCGUUUUGGGGUCAUUCUCUCUCAUCAUGAUGUCAUGAUCAGUGAUAUUCAUGCGAUGAACGUUGCUCAGAUGCGUCAUCUACAGCUGGACUUCACUCCCACAGACUUGCCUCCGUAUCCGGAAGAGGUGCCUCAAGUUCCAGGUGAGAGUGAUGGUGAUGACUCAGAAAGUGAGGACGAGGGUGAUGGUGAACACAUUGAUGGUGACUCGGACUCCGAGUAGUUGGUUUUCUGGUUUACUCUCCACAUUUUUGUACUUAAUUUUUUUUUUUUUUUUUUUUUUGCUAUAUCGGUUUGUUUCUAUUUUUUUUGGAUAUUGAGCAUGUUAUUGGAUAUUGCUAUUUUAAUAUUAGUUCAAGUUUUUUUUUGUUUUGCAGUAAAUUUCUGCUAAUUAGGUAAUGGACCUCUCUUAUUGGGCCCAUGUUAGGUUUCCUCUUAUUUUUCUUAUAUAUAGGGGAGUCUUUUCCUCUUUUACUCCUAUUGUGUCUUCUUACUUCUUGCUAGUUCUCUCUUUGUUCUUCAGAAUCCUCUAUGGCAGAAUAUGAACUUCAUGGAAUUUUUAUUCCGACUAUUGGUUAUGUGUCGUUCAUGGUAAUGGAGUACAAGAACAAUGCUAAGGUUUGUCGUUUAUGUCGCGUUCCCCAUGGAUAUGACUAUAUUCAUCGUCCUUUUCUUAAUCCUUGUUUGGUUCGUGUCAAUCAUUGGGAGAGGCUACCGGGACAUCUUCAAAAUCACAUCUUGGAGUUGGUUGGAUACCCGAAGGUUCCAGGACUUGCUGCUCCUCUUACCGACUGUGGCUUGGACAGCAGAAUUGGGGAGUUAUUUUGUACGCGUGCUGAUAGUCCUGUGCAAACUCGGUGGAAUAGCUAUUCGGCUCGUGCGAAAGCUUUAUGUCCUAUCUUAAGCUUUAUGUUCUUAUGAUCGCUCGGUGGAUUAGACUUCGGCUCGUGUGGAAGCUUACUUCUCCAAGCUUCCUCUAGGUCAUUGGGAACGGGUUUUUCGAAUUCGUUAACUCAAGCCUUAUGUUUUUGUCGUUUUGUUUUUUAUGUUUAUGGAUUUCUCUGUUUGGUUAUUAGUUGAUUUUCUGAACUUUUAACAGUUGGGUUCGGUUUAUAUUUUUAUCUGUUUUGUAUUCUUUGUUUGGUAUUAAUUUCUUCUUCUUGAUUAUUGGUUUAUUGUUGUUCUUUUCCUUUGUUGGUUGGUUAUUUUGUUCACUUGUUGUGACAAAAAGGGGGAGAUUUAUGACUCUAAUUACUAACAAUCGUCUUCUUGUUGUUAGGUUAUUUUUGGGUCAUGUUUCAGGUAUGCUACACGUAUGGGGGAGUGAACGUGUUGAUGAUUUUAGAUGUUAUAUUGUUAUGGGGGAGUUCGAGUGUCAAAAAUAGUUUGGAGCUCAUGAAGUAUGGGGGAGUUGCUCGAAGGAACUUCUGUUGAAUCCUUGAUUGCUUCGGAAAUUUCUAGUUGCUUCCGUUCGAUCUCUGAUGGUUAAAGCAUCUUCCUAAAGCUGGAUAACAAGAAUUGGUGACUUGUUAUGUGUUUCUAUUUUGAGUGAUUUUGUAGGCAUGUUUUAUAAAUGCCAUGGUUUGGGAUUGUAAGCACGUUUUAUAAGUGCUAUUAGAGUCAUAGGUUUUUGUCACAAAAUCAAUGUCAAAGGGGGAGAUUGAAACCGGCACGAAGUGGUUUGACAUCAAUUUUGUGACAAAGUGUCCUUGGUUAUUUCGCCUUGAGUUCAUUGUUAAGAAAACCGAGUUGUACGCGCGUCGUCCCGUGUCCUUGCCUUCGCGUCGUGUGUCAUUGGUGUGAUUUCUGGUCCAGGACGUACGUACCUCUUAAGGACGUACGUACGUAUCGAAUGACAGCAAGAUUGUUGGUGGUCUGGACGUACGAACCUUUACAGGACGUUCGUACGUCACAGCAGGCAGCAGGAGUAUUUUCGUUUGGAGACGUACGAACGUCAUAUCGACGUACGUACGUCCAAAGUGGGCUUUUACUAUUUCGGCCCAUUUUCGGUGGUUUUCCAACCCUAUGUAUAAAUAGGGUUUCUCUUCCAAAGAACAAGUGAGUUCUUUGGCCGUCCAAUUCACCUCUUGUUUCUUGGAGUUUGUUUAGGUUUUGGUUUAGGUUGUUUUGGUGAUUGAACUCAUCUUCUUCUUCCCCAUUCAUCUUCUUCUUCCUUUUUCCUUUCAUUCAUUAUUGAAUAGUGAUUUAGCUUCGAGUCUUCUUGUGUGUUCAUCAAGAAGUCGAGUUUCCUUGUGUGUUCAUCAAGGAACUCUGGUGUAAGCUUGUUUCAUAGUUCGGCUUCGAGUCUUCUUGUGUGUUCAUCAAGAAGUCGAGUGUCUUGUGCGUACAUCAAGGUGCUCUGGUGAAGUCAAGGUGUUAGAGAUAACCAGGAGUAUCAACUCGCAGUGAGUGCAGGUAGUUGAUAGGUUUGUACAUCUCUUUUCAUCUAGUGGAUUUAUUUGUUGUCGCGAGGACAACCGUGGACGUUUCCCAUAUUGGGUUUUACCACGUUAAAAAUUUCUGCGUGUUAUUUACUUUCUGCAUAUUGUUUGAUUUGUUUGAAUUGUUAUAUUAGCACUAUUUGUAGUUUCUCAAUCUCAUCUCUGUCUACACAAGGCUUUCAUUGUAACUAUUCGAUCAAUAUAUACAUAUCUCGAGUUUGUGGAUCAAAGUUUUGCACCCACAUAAAUAUUGGACAAUUUCUUCGUAAGCUACUUAUUUUCUUAAAUUGAUUUGUUUACAAAAUGUCUGGUCAUCUUCAAUAAAUGAUAUUGUUUUAAUCACUAUUUUAUUUAAUUAACACACCGAAAUUGGGCUCACAUCUGAUAUUCAUAUGCUUUCCAGUUUUCAGGAAGUCUGCACUUGAUGGACUGCAUGCCCAAU